AUUACUUCAAACACUAAUUUUGAAUUUCUAACAUUCACUCAUUUCCUUGUUUUCAUCAACCCGUAAAAUGAAGCAGCAAGUAGUUUUUGUCUUAGGCCUGCAAACUCUGAAUUGGAUAAUACAAUAAUAAUAAUAAAAUACAAGUUUUAAAAUUAAAUAUUUGCACACACGAUCACAAUUUAUUUCCCUUCAUAACCCCAAUUUUUGCAUGGCCCUCUUAUAGCAUAUACAUAUAGCUAUUAUGGUACAAAGGGGGGCAUAUACAUCAAAGUAUAUAUGACAUGAAACAUAUUGGUAUAUCAAAUAUUCUGGACAGUUCUGUUGGAUAUGGAAUAAUGGGAACUCUUGAUAGUACUUCAUAUACCUGCCAUGCAUUCCGGUGGGGUGACCGGGUACCGAGACUUGUCGGUGCAGUAAUCGUAGAUCAUGUGGUUCAUCCGAACCCAUCUGUAUCUCCUAGCUUCCAUGGCAUUAAGAGCUUGAUAAGCAGUACCUUCCCACCAGUUCCUAGGGUUACUAGCACAAUUUGCUGGCCCUGGAACUGGACACCCUUCAAUGUCAAAAUCCUUGUAAUAAGCCAAAAAUGGUGCUUUGCUCCAAUCAAUUUUCUCAAGUCCUCCCCUUGUUGCCCAAUCAUCAGCUUCCCAUAGUGUUGAAUAUACCCCCAUAGGUUGAAAUUUUGGGUAUGGGAUGUUUUUUGCUUCAUUGUUCUUGUAUACUCUUAUUGGCACUUCAUCUACAUAAAACCUGUUAAGAAAAAGCACCCAAAUGGUCAAAUUUUAAUGUCAUAUAUGCUUAUUAAUGUCACAUUUAUAGUUAGAUACUGGACUUACACAAUAUGAUGAUGGUUCCACAUAAUUGCGUAUGUAUGGAAAUCAGCAGCUGGAUCAAACCAGAGGUUAACCCUUUGUUCUCUAUCACCUUUACCAUGAGCAUAUAUGUUGGUUUGGACCGUGUAUGGUUGCCCGGUUCGGUUUCCCAAGAACUCGAAAUCUAGCUCGUCUCUUACGGUGUCCGUAUCAGAAUUCAUCUGCAAUACCAGAUUACAAUGAAAAACAGAUUAAAGGUUAAAGGUUAUGUCGGUAGGUAGCUUUACGUACGUAAAAGGCGGUGACGGUUCCGGCCGAGUCACCGGGGAUAAGCUUGAUCUUCAUGCUGACACGUCCAAACAAAUACCGUCUUUUGGAAGCAAAUCCACAGCCUAUAAAACAAAAUGAAUUAACAACACAUUAUCGAAGGGUUAACACAUUUAAUCAUUGAUUAUUAUUUUUAAAAAGUUAAACCUGAAUUUUGGUCUAGAAUAAGUUGAAUGGCCCUCCCCCCAUCGAUUUGCUUGAUAUGGGAAUCGGACCAAGUGAUUCUAAAAUCUUCGAGGAAAGUGGCGGGUCGUCCCGAAACCGAGAUCGAACAUGCAAGGAAACAAGAGAAGAUGAAAAGAAAAGCACUGCUUAGAGUUGCCAUUGUCAUCAAUGUUUUGAACUUAGAAGAUUAAAUUGUGGUGAAUAUGUGUAUAUGUGUAUGUAUAUAUAUAUAUAUAGGUGGGAGAGAUUAAGGUUGAUGUAGACCGCUGCAUUGAAAUAGAAAGUGCCAUUCUUAAGUUUAGCUUUCGAUACAGCUAAUGGCAAGCCGUCUUUAGGCCCUACAUACCCCCCAACUGUGCUCUAAUUUUGCCCUUUGGGAACCUAAUCUUAAUGCUUCCACUUCAUAACUUUCUCUUUGUUUUUGUUUUCAUUCUCCAACCUAACAAGAAAAAGGGAUCACAGAUAUUGAAAUUUUACAAUUGAAUUGAUCGUAUAUACAUUGUUUGUCAUGUUCCGUCAUCACAUGAAAAUUUGAUUAAUUUUAUAUAUGGGUGGAUAAUUUUCUAUCUCAUGAAAUUGAUAUGGUAUGAAGGUGGUGUAGAAAAGGAUUGAAGACCAAUGAGGUGUGCCUAAAAAUUUGGGUCAAAUAGGGUUUGGACUUAAGUUCACAAAGGCAGUCUCAUUCAAUAUUGCUUAUCUAAUAUAUCUGUGAACAGCCUAGAUUGAUAUUGAACGGCCGGUUGGCCGGAUCCACCGAGUUACAUGCCCCACCAUUAAGUUUUUUGGGGUCUAAUUGGUCAAAUUCCAUAGGCCUGGAAACCAAUCAGUAUAUCAAUUUAGAUAAAAGGGUUAGAUCGAUUUUAGAGCGAAGCACUUAAAACUAAAUUUAAACCGUAAACCGGUUGAACUGUUUUUUAAUGUUUUUAGUCCAAAUUAAUGGUCCAAAUCGAAAAAAAAAUCUCAACUGGCAAAAUCCAAAUACGUAAAUAUAUCAACCCAACCCACCCGAAUACUUAAAAAAAUUAUUAUUAUUAAGAAAAAAAAAGAGAGGAGAAAAACCAAUAUAAAUCGAAGUGUCAUUAUUGUUAUUUAUUUGUGUUUAUACAAUUUUGUUUUUAAUUUUGUCAAAUUUUUACUUAUUUUCCAAAUUUUCUUUAAUUUUGGACCAAUCGAACUAAAAUUUGGUGAUCUGAUUAGUUCGAUCACCAAUCCAAUUCCGAAAACAUUGGGGGUAGGGGUUGCCUUAUUUUCAUAUUGAUAUAGUAGACAUCGAUAAAAAUAAGAAAAAUAAGAACACAUGAAUUUCUUCAAUAAGUGACGGGAUUCGGGUCACACAAUCUCUAACACAUAUUAACAUGGCUAGCUCUCCUAGAAAAACUUUUAAAUGUUAAUCGAAAACUUUCCCAACUCGAAUAAAAAAAUCUUAAAUCCAAAAUGACUCAAAUCCUAAUUAUUACCUAAACUUAAUUCAAAAAUUCACUAACAAACCCGAAUAACUUCAUCUUACAAAUAAUCCAAACCCAAAUUAAUAUCAAACCUAAAACCACUCAAAAGUCAUGUUGAAAAUUGGAUCAAAUUCCAUUCCCAUCUUUUUCUACCACUUGACAAUUGUUGUGACAAGGAAUAAUUUCAAACAAAAGUAUUAUCCUAUUUUACAUCAAUUGAAGUUAAAACACAGAUAGUGAAAGACUGAGAUAUCUGAAAAUUAUACGACAGAAAGGGAUCAUUUCUUUCACCAGUUGCAUAACUGACGUACAAAGAUCCUCGGGAUUAAAGUUCAACCAAUGUUGGCUGCCAAACCUCAAUUAUUUUAAAACUUUGACCUCAAAGUCAAUAUAAAAAAAUAAUUCUAAAAAUAUGUAGUCCUUAAAUGAUUAAAUAUGCAAAUUUCCUUGUCCAAAUAAAAUUUUUAAUUUCUCCUCACAAAUUAUGAUUAAUUUAUAAUAAAAAAUAAAAAUUGUGGAUCAUGAUUUCCUCUCUCAACUAUAUAUCUCCAGGAUCCAAAUUUGAGUUCUUUUCAUAAGAGCGAAUACGGUUUACCACUGCACUCAACAUUUUUAAAAAAGAAUUAUGUAUAGGAGGAGGCAAAUUCUCUUAUAUCCUGUAUGUUAGUAUUGAGUUGCGGAUUUGCUGUGUUUCGAGUUGCAACUAAUGAUAUAAUUGAAAUUGAAAAAGAAAAGGGUUAAAAUAUGUCAUAGGUUCCUGUGCUUUUUAAUUUUAGGAAUUUAGUUUCUCUGCUUUCUAGAUUUCAAAAUUCAAGUCAAAUUAUUAAUUAUGUUAAUUUUUUGGGGUUGAAUUUGUUGGUGUGACAUUUUGAAAUUAGAAAAAAAAACCUUACUUGGUAGUAAUGUAACUAAAAUAAUGACGUUGUAAUGAACCUGAAUUUAACAAAAUAAUCUUAAUAGUGCUAACAAUUGGACCUAAUUUUUUACAUCUAAAAAGUAGGGGGAUUAAAUUCCAAAUUUCUGAAGAGUUUAGAGACUUAUAAUAUAUUUUAUCCAAAAAUUAGUUGUAGAGUUCAAAACCCCUUCCUACAUCUAUAUGGUCUUACUCGAAGAGUGAUUCAAAAUAAUUCAACAAUACAAGAGAUGAUUUAAGCUCAACUUACUCAACUUGUUGUUGCCUACAUGCAUAUAUAUAUAUAUAUAUAUAUAUAUAUAUAUAUUUGGGGUUAAAUCACUUUUUAGGAUCAAAACAUGGUAACAUUUUUUAUAUUGGGGUUUGAAUUUUUUUUCAAGUUAGGUCAUGAACUUAGCAAUUAUUCUUCCAUUGGGAACUAAACUUUUUUUUAUUCAAGAUAGAUCCUGAAUUAACAAUUUUUCCAAUAUUAGGGUUGAAUUUUUUUUUCCAAAUUAGUCUUUAAAAACCCUAAAAGUUCAGGUCAAGCCUCGAUGUGAGAAUAAUUGUCAAGUUCUUGGACUAACUUGAAAAAAAAUUCAAGCCCCAAUUUGAGAACAAUUGCCUAGUCUAGACCCCAAUGUGAGAACAGUUGUCAAGUUCAAAGUCUAACUUGAACCAAAAAAAAAAAUUUAUACUCCAGUGUAGAAAAAGUUACCAAGUUCAAAUCCCAAAUAAUAAUUUAACACUAUAUUUUAUAUUGAUAAAACAUAAAAAAAUAUCUUAAUUAAAUUAUAAAUAAAAUUAAUCAUAUAAUUAACUCUCAACAUUUAAUAUUAAGAUCCGUAAUUAAUUAUUUUUCCCUAAUGAUGAGAAACUAAUUUAACUUUUAUAUUUGAACUAAUAUACCGAUUAAUUUAACUUUCAUUCAAUUUAACCGAUCGAUCCAGUCCUAUUAAAUAACAUCGGUGAAAAUGAUGGCAAAUAUUUUAUGGGGAUUGGGACAUGUGGAUGCAUGCAUGGUAUGGCAUAUAAGUGAUUGCUGGGAUAAGCUAAUAAAUGGGGUUUUUUACUAAAUUAUUAUAAAAAAAUAAAAAAAUAAACAAAAUAUUAUAACUUUUUUUUUAUUUACCAAAAUAUUAUAAAUUUUUUUAAUUUACCAAAAUAUACCAAAAAAAAACUUGCAAAAAAAAACCUGUGGCGGCACCAAUGGUGCCAAAGCACUAAAAUGUAUUUGCAGUUUCAAGGACCUGACAUGCAAAUUUACCAUUUUAAAAUUUGAAAGUGAAUUGCCGCUGUGCGUGUGGGGCGCACUAAAAUUGAAAUGUGGCUAAUUGCCUUCUAAGCCCUCCUUAUUUUAAUUAAGUAAUAAACUUUAAUUAGUUAAGUGAUAAUUAAGAUACUUAGAAUUCUAAUUAAGUAAUAACUCUAUUUUAAUUUAAUAAACUAUUCUCAUUUAAUAAACUCUAAUUUAAUAAACUCUAUUUUGGUAGUUUGAUGAGAAUAGUUUAUUAAAUUAAAAUAGAGUUAUUAAGUAAUUUGAUGAGAAUAAUUUAUUAAAUUAAAAUAGAGUUAUUUCUUAAUUAGAAUUCUAAGUAUCUUAAUUAUCACUUAACUAAUAUUAGAUUUAAUUAAAAAAUUAACAGAAAUACCAGGCAUGCCUUAUUGAAAAACCAGAAGUAAUAAUAAAACUGAUCACCCAUAAAUGUAACCCAAAUAGAAAAAAUAAAUUAUAAUUAUAAACUAUUCUCAUCAAAUUUAGUAAAUUUUUUAAAUAAACUAUUCUCAUCAAAUUACCAAAAUAAUACAUAAAAUGCGAAUUAGUUUAUACUUUUUUAAAUAGCUUUACUUUAGGUAAAAUAUAUUUACUUUAAUAAUAAAAUAAAGGGAUUUUAUGAGUAAAAGUCAUAGAUUAAGAGCUUAUUUAACUACAAAAAUAGGUUGAGGGCUUGUUUAUUAAAUAAAAAAGUGAGUUAAAGGGGAAUAAAAAGAAAAUAAUAAAUAAGGAGGACUUAGAAGGCAAUUAGCCACAUUUCAAUUUUAGUGCACCCCACACGCACAGUGCAGCAAUUCACUUUCAAAAUUGAAAAUGGUAAAUUUGCAUGUCAGGUCUUUAAAACUGCAAAUAGUUGCAUUUUAGUCCUUUAGCACCAUUGGUGCCACCAAUCUCUUUGGCACCUUUGGUGCCGCCACAGGUUUUCUUUUUGCAAGUUUUUUUUGGUAUAUUUUGGUUAAUAAAAAAAUUUAUAAUAUUUUGAUAAAUAAAAAAAAGUUAUAAUAUUUUGGUUAUUUUUUAUUUUUUUAUAAUAAUUUAGUAAAAAACCCUAAUAAAUGCGUUCUCCAUUGGCAUUGAAUUUUGCCACCAUAACAAUAUUUGAGGUAAAUUUCAAAAAUAGUUCCAUAUCUUUGUUUAAGUUUAAUUUUGGUCACCGAUGUUUCAAUUGUUACGUUUUGUAGUUCACUUUUAUAUUCGGACCAAUAUACUCUUUCCCGUCUUCCUUUUCUUUUCUUCUAACCAAACCCUAGUCGCUGCUCACCGCCAUCGAUGGUCCUCCGGCCGAUAGUGCCACCAUUACUCCUCUCCUCUCCGUUCACUGAUUCAGAUUUCUUCUAGAGCAAACAAAAGGACAAAAGCCCAAGUUGAAGCUUAAACCUUUUCCAACCGUCAGAUCGGCCUAAUCCCAGGAUAUGUGCCUCUCCUCCGUCCAAUGAGGCUUUUCACCAUUGGAUUUGCGAGCAAAUAACUAGAGCCCCGAGAAUUCAACAACCCGAAAUGGGUUUUCUCUUCCCCUUUUGAUUUCCAUUUGCUCUCUUUUUCUUGAUUUUUUAUUCUCUUUUUUUCAUUUCUAUGCCUUCUUCUUUUCCGUGACAUGGAAGCCAUGUUAGCAUUUAGUGGUACAAUUUGUGCAAUGUCAGAUUUUUAUUAACACUAUUAACGGCCAUUAACCGACCAGUAAUCAAAUUGUUAAUAAUUGAUAAAAUUUAUGAUCAAAUCAUAACAAUUGAAACAUCAAUGACCCAAAUGUAAACUUAAACAAAGAUAUGGGAUUAUUUUUGAAAUUUCUAUAACACUAUUAAUGCCCAUGGUGGUAAAGGGCAUAAUUUAUUAUUAUAUUAAUCAAAAUUAUGUAUAAUUAGCAGAAAACAUUAAUUUUUGUAAUUAAUUGUCUUUAAUUACUCAUUUUCAAAAUUGACGAAAUUUAAAUUAUUCUAUCUUUUUAAGAGAUUAAUCUGCUCGAUAUUAAAAUUGAAGGAGACUGAAGAAAUAUUUUUACCUAAAAUUUUUUAGUAUAAGCCUAGCACUUUCCUAGCCAAUCAAGUCCUUAUCAUAUGGUUUGAUUGUCAAACUCAAAAUUAAAGUCAGUCUUUAUUAAAUCAAAUAAUUGCAAAGUGUAUAGCUUUUGCCGGUUCUAUCUUAAUAAUGUAAUCCAUCUAAUAAUAUAUAUUUGUUAAUGGGUCGGGUCGGAUCAAGUUCGAGUUAGGUUUAAGUAUAAUGUCAACACAUUGUAUGUUUAUCCAAGUUCGUUUAGUCUGAAAUAUAAAUUUAAAAUUUUAUCUAAAUCUACCCAUAUUUAUAAAUAUCUGGUCUAAAUUCAUUUUAAACCCGCUCAUAUUAUCUUUAAUUUAUUAUUUAAUAAUUUAAUUUUUUAUUUAUAAAAAAAUUUAUAUAUAGACAUCUAAUAUUUUUAAUGUUUAUAUAAUAUAUAUUAAAAAUUAAAAAGGGUCUAGGCUAAGUCGGACUUCAAAUGUUCAAACUCAAAUUCGACUCAUAUUUUAAACGAGCCUAAUUUUUGUUUAGGCUCAAUUUUACGAGAGUUUAACCUUUUUAAAAAUCAGACAACAUUGGAGUUAAACGAAUAACCCGAUCUAUGAAUAGCUCUAGAUUAACCCAAGACUCAAUUAUUUGAAAAACAUAAAAAGGGCCUAGGUAGACAAAAAGGUUUAAUGUAUUUUGUUUUUUGCCGGUAAAUUGAGAAUGCUGGAAUUGACAAAGCAACAAUAAAUAAGAAGCAUCUUUAAUUAGAGGCUGGCAAGCCAAUGGCUCUUCAAUUCCUAUUUUUUCAUUAUCUUAUAUUAAUAAUUAAUUUGGAUUAUUUAUUUUAUUUUUCUUGAUAAUGAUUAAACAUAAAAGUUUUAGUGUCAUAAAUAGAAAUUGGAGUAAAUAUAGAGUUGUUCAUAAGACAGGUGGCCCAUUUAGCUCGCGUAGUAUGAUCCGAUUUGAAUUUAAAUUAAAUUCUUUUUAAAUUUUAUAUAAAUAUAAAUAUCAAAUAAUAUAUUUUAAUAUUUUACUAAUUUUUUAAAUGGUGAUAUGGAAAAUUUUUUAAAAAUUUGAUAAUUAUAUAUUUCUUUCACUACUAUUAUAUAUAUUUUUAUUAAAUUUUCAAAUAUAAAUAACUUACCUUUUUUAAAAUAUAUACAUUAUGAUAUAACAUAUUUAAUUUUCAUAUGAUAUAAGUACAUAAUGCAUAAAUAAAAGGAAAAGUUACAUAUCAUAAGCUUGAAAACAUACUAGAGUUGAUAUUUGAAUACUGGAGUUCGAAUUAGACUUAUAUUUUAAAUGAACUUAAUUUUUUUACAUAAACUCACUCCUAGCAUGACGAUUGUUUUUUUUUUUUUUUCCGAAUCCUCCCAAUUAUUGAGAAGGAAUUUGAGUUAGGGUAGGUAUAUUGACCAUUGAACAAGUCCAAUCAUAGUUAAUAUUUUGAAAUUAUGAUUUAGAUUUUUAAUUGGUCGCUAAAUUUUAAAACUUUCUAACUGAACUAGCAUAAGUAUCGUAUCAAUCAAGUCUUUUCGAAAGUUUAGUCAUUAGCUUGAGGAUAAACGUUGGCUCAAACAUAACAUUGAGCCUAUUUUAAACAUAUGGAUCAAAUUAUAAUAUGUGUAUCGAAUUUGACGUGUUAAGAAAUGAAUCUCUUAAAUUUAAUUGACGAUGUUACUUGGGAUAAACAACACUCAAGAUUAAUAAAUUGAUAAAUUAAUGUUUUAAUCAUUUAACUUUAAAAAAUUACUAAAUAAUUACUGAACGGGCAAAAUACUAAAAAAAGUCCUAUUUUUUUAAAAUUUAUCGAAAUGGGCUCGGUAUUUUAUUAUUUACUGGAAUGGGCCAUUUUCCCCGAAAUCGCGUCCACGUCAGCGCGAUGUCAGGGGACGUGUCAGAACAUCGCGUCCACGUCAGCUCGCUUAGCUUAUGUGGACAGAAAUCGCGCCUACGAGGACGCGAUUUGCUGACGUGGAUGAACAGUUUAUGUUUUUUAGCUUGGAAAACUUUGAAAGGCCAUAACUUUUGGCUCGGUUGUCCGAUUGAGACGAUUUUUUUAUUUCGAAUAACUUUUCGAGAUCUACGCGCUGAAUUUCGAUUUGCCGCAGUUUUCGUCAAAAAAGAUCCUUUUUUGCCCCUGAAUUUCGAUUUUUUCAGUUUAAAAUUGAAUUUUGAAACAUUCAAAUCAUUAUUUUCCUUAUUUAUUUGAAGUAAACACCGGAUUUUUUUUACAGAAUUGUUGUAUUAUUUUUUCUGAUUUGACACGUGUAUGGAAUAGGUCCGAUAAAUCGUUAGAACGUAAGUAAUAUAAUUAAGAUUAUAACAGUAUUUCUAUAAUAUGUUAAUUAAUUAGUUUGGCUUAGUUGGUUAAGAUGCUUGCUCUUUUCCCUUAGUACCUUGGUUCAAAUCUUGUUGGUAACAAUUUUGAAUCUUUUUUGUACUUGUUGCUAUUGAUGUAAUAUUGAAGAGUUAAUUGAUUAAAAAAAUAAAUACAAGUACAAAAAGAUUCAAAAUUUAUUUUUUCAAAAUACCAAAAAAGCCCUAUAUUUUUAAAAUUUAUCAAAAUGGGCCCGGUAUUUUAUUUUUUUGACCGUUGGGUACUGUUCACGCGCGGGCCGAAAUCGCAUCCACGUCAGCAUCUCGCGCUGACGUGGACGCGAUUUCCUGACGCGUACCCUGACAUCGCGCUGACGUGGACGUGAUUUUCCGAAAAAAGAACCAUUCCGAUAAAUAAUUAAAAAAUAGGCCCAUUGCGGUAAUUUAAAAAAAAAAGCUUUUAUUAGUAAAUUGCCCAUUACUGAACUGCUUAAAAAUUUUCAUUUAAAUUACUGGAAAGGUUUUAAAUAUAUAAUUUUACAAUUUUUUUUUGUUUUAUUAAAUAAAUGACCGACAAUACUAUAAACCUUUUAGUUUCCACUUUCUAUCUUGUCUAUCAAUUCAUGGCAAUGUUAAUCAAUUAUGGUUAGUUAUGAAUUAUAAUAAGAAAUUAAUGAUAUUUAUUGAGACUAGUUCUAUGCACAUCCCCCGAGGGGGGCAAUAAAACAAUAAAGAAAAUUUUGGGUGAAAAUUCAAAAUAAUGAAAAAUUAAAAUUACUUAACUAAUAAUUUUUACUAUUUACCCUUAUCGAUUUAUUUAUUGCCAUGUACUCUAAUUUAUAUGAUUUUUGGUUCUUGUCUUUUUUAUGUUUUGGAAUUUUAGUGAAUACUUAAAUUAAUUAAGUUAAAUUUGUUAUUUCUAAAAUUUUACAUGGCAAACAUGUUUUUUUCCACAUAAUCCUUGCAAAAAAAAAGUCAAUCACUUUAGUUAAUUGAUAAAAUAGUUACGGUUUGAAUCGUGACUAAAAUAUCAAAAUUUAAAAGUUAAGUAUUAAAAAUAAUGAAAUUGGAGAACAUGGUCUAAAUCCAUAAUUUAGGCAUAGUACAAGAUUAAUAGCAUAAUUUGAUUUAACAUAUUUAACUGUCGUUUGGGUUGAGAUUAAAAUUUCAAAAUUCAAAAAGUACAAAGAUUAAAAUUGACCAAAUUAGAGUAUAAGAACAAAAAUUAAUAAAUUAUACAUGAUAUAGGGAGUAGGGACCAAUAAUAAAAUUUGACCUUAUAAAUGAAUAAAAAGUGCUAAUGGUUUUAAAAACUUACUGUGAUAAAAAAAAUGCAUGAGAGAGAAGUUAAAAUUAGGAAAGUUUUCUAGUCUCAUCAUUAGCUAUUGCUAUGUGUUGGUUUUUUCUGUUGAGUUUAAGACUUAUGAAGAUAAAUAUUAAUUACAAAUAAGAUUCCGCUAAAAUAAUCUCAUAAAAAGACUUUACAAAUAUAAUCGUAAAGUUCAAAAUAAAACAAAAAUUUACAAGAUAUAUCUUCAAGUCAAUCUUCAUAAAUCAAGGGAUCCAAUUUAUUUGACCUAGAUCAGUCCAAACUUCAAGGAUUUGUAGCUUCACAAAAUAGAUCUUCAAAUAUGGGUCAACACAUGUUCAUAAUAUUCACUAAGUCAUGACCCAACUGUUUUGGUUUAAAGAUCCGUCGACAUUAAUAAGCCAAGUUAUGUAACUUGUGGGCACUACAUGAGACAUUGCUCACAUAUUGCCUCAACAAUCUCUUCCAACAAGAAUUCUAUAUUUAGAAUAUGAAUCCAUCUUUAUAAAGUACCAUUUAAUCCAUCUUAAUCUGUCUAAAUUUUAUCAAAUCAAUUACCCUUAAUAUAAGAUUACAAAUGAUUGUGGUAAAUCUUCAUAAAAUCAACUCGCGUCUUCUUGGAUUUACAUAUCCAAAUAUAUAAGAUAACUUAAUUUGGACACGAGCAAUAUUACUACUUUAAAAACUUACCUAGACCCAAACACUUGUAUAAACUUAUUUUGUAUGAGAAAUUAUAGAGAAGAUUAAUUAAAUUUUAAUCUAAUUGCUGCAAAAUUUUCAAUUAUUUCAAUGGGAUAAUGCUAAGAAUAUUAUAUGAGAUUUGAGACCCUACAUUAUUGUGAAAUAUCAAAUCAGACCUACAUGACAUUUUUUUUCUUCAUAUAAAUCAAAUUUAAUGUAUAGAAAGUUCUAUUUUGUAUAUUUUAGCUGGAUCACACAUAAAAAAGUACUUUUAAUUCAUUGAAUUUUUUGAAGGGAAAAUCAAAUCAGGUAUAAUUUAAUAUUUCAACAAGCACAAAUAAUUGAUCUUUUGUGUGGUUUUAGAUAAAAGAAAUAAAUUUUAAAUAAAUCGCUUAGAACCAAUUGAAUAGGAUAAAAAAAUUGAUUAAAUUAAUGAUUGAAUUGAAUUUAUACUUUUAUAAUUAUUUUUUAAAAUUUAAAAUUAUUAGUAAUUUAUUUAAUUAAAAUUGAAGUGGUAAUCAAUUUGAUCAAACCGAAAAUCGAUUAUCUGAUGAAUUUAAUCACCAAUCCAAUUCUUAAUGCAUGUUUUUGACUUGGACAGGAAUUUUUCUUUUUAAAUUUAAUAUUGGAAAAUGAUUUUUCUAUGUAUAAUGUUUUUGGCUUAAAUACUCAUUUAGCUUUGGAAUUUAUCAUUUUCUCCCAAUUUGGUAUUUAUGGUAUUUUUGUUCCAAUAUUAAAUAUCAAAACCUUUGAUGGAAUGAAAAUCGAGAUACCAACUUGAAACAGAAAACCAUAAAUACCAACUUAAGAGAAUAUGAUAAAUUCGAGGGUUAAAUGAAUAUUUAAACCAACAUUCACUGAUUCAAGUAUAAACAACUACCCUAUCACAAAUUCAUAGAUUUCAUCCUUCGUUAUAAAACAAAGUUGCUGUGAUAAUUUUAUUUUCAAAAUGAAAUAUAAAAUAAUUAUUAAAUAAACUAAUUAAAAAUAUCAGAAAAUAACAAUUUCCUUUCGGUACUUUCACAGUAUCACUAUAAAUAUACUCGUAUAUAUAUAAAAAAAACUAAUAAUUUUCUUUUAAUUAACCAUAUGAAAUCAAUAAUUAAUUAUUACAUUUUUAGAAAUAAUAAUUUAAUUAAAAUUGACACAUAUAUAUAUAUAUUUAAAACUCAUAUCAAUAAAUUAAAGCUUCUAAGAAAAAAAAAUGAAUGUUAUUAAAAUAAUUAUGAAAAUCUAAUUAAAAAGCUAGCUGCCUCAAAGCUCAUUAAAUGCAUGCAAGGCAAUUGCAGGGUCAGGUAUGCACACGCCCUGAAAAAGAUUGCUCAAACAGUUUCUUACAUGCAGAGACUUUUUUGCCUAAAAUUAUACCCUCAAUCAUUUAACAUCACAGAGACUUUUUUGGCUAAAUUUAUACCCUCAAUCAUUUAACAUCUCCUUUUCUUAUCUGCUAAAUUCGAUUUAGUAAAAAUAAUUAAAAAAUUUGAAUGACAAAAAUAUGAACUUUUAAAACCUAAAUGAUUAUUGGGAAAAAAAUAAUUAACAGAGAAAUUUAUAUUUUAAUAUAAUGAUAAAAUUGUACUUUAAUUCCUCUAGUAAUUCAUAAUUCAUAUCUAACUUUCUUUAAAAUAAUUUUCUAACUUCGUCCAUGCUUCAGCGUAUACAGGGGCAGAAUCACCUUUAAUCCUUUUAUAAUUUUAAAUAAUUUAAAUUAGCAUAUGUAAAAUUACACUUUGCCUCUCAAGAAUGAGAACAAAAUUAGUAUAUAAACUAUUAAGAUGAUGAAAUUUUACUUUUACUAUUAUAAAAAUAUACAAUUUUAUUCCGACCCCUCAAUUUCUCUGGAUUUUGAUUGAUUUCCACUAGUUGCCACUAAAUUGUACUAAUGUAGAGUUGAAUUUUAUUCCAAAAAAGCUACUAAUGGUAUCAAUUCAAUACAAUAUAUAUAUAUAUAUAUAUAUAUAUAUAUAUAUAUAUAUAUAUAAAGUUCAAUGAUUUCGAUAUACCGUUUGCACAAUCAACACGUUUGGUCUAAAUAAUUAUGAAAAACUUGUAAACUCAUCAUUGAAUACAAGUAUCAUUAACAUUAAAAUAUUUAUCUAUUUCUAUUAUUAAAAACUGACAUGAUUAAUAAUAAAAUAACAAAAUAGUUACAAGUGACACACCACGUGUACCUCACUCUAAUGUACAUUAACCAGUUUUUAACAAUAGAAAUGGAUACAAAUUUUAACCGAAGGACUAGUCUGCUGUUUGAUUUAAUGCAUAAAGACUAACUUACCCAAUUUUAAUAGAAGGGACAAAAUAAAAUUUGACUCUCAGUACAAACAAGACUCCUGUUACUUUUACCUAUUGAGAAACAAUGGAAUUGAAAAAGAAAGUUGGAAGUUCAAAUUCAAUGGGAUAGAAACCUUGAAAGGACAGUGGAUAGUUCUCUUUGAUCUAUAUAACAAGUGAUAUAACAAAAACAGUAAUUUAAUUUGAUUAUUAUAAAACCCUGGAAAGAAUCUUACAGUACAAUAAAUAGUUGUUCAAGAAUAUCAACUUGCAAUUCUACUGAGUUGAGUAACUAGCUCCUUAUCUGUAGAGUUUUUCAAAUGUUCGACGAUUUCGUCGACAUACGGAGCUUCUAAGUGAAUCCUUCUUCUAAGCAUUAACCUAGCAAGCUUCACAGCUUCAACUGAAUGGCUUUGCCGACACAAGCCAACCAAAAGAAUAGAAUAGAUGUCAGUGUCGAUGGAUGAAAUGUAUUGAAUCCGCUCGAUUUCAUUGUAUAAGCAAAAACCAUCUAGCACUCGUCCCUCAUGACAGAUCUCCCUAAUCAUGGUACUACAAGCAAUGCCACUAGGUUUAGCCCCACUUACUAACAUUUUCCUAAAGAGCUUCUCUACCUCAUUGAGUCUAUUAAUCCUAAUCAAAGCCAAUACAAGAGAACUGUAGCAAUCACUAUUGGAAACACCACGUCCGGCAACUCUAUCGAUCAACUUAUAUGCUUCUUCGACAUGUCCCUCGGUGCAAAGACCCGUGAUCAAAGUAAUAACAGUUAUACGGUUAGGAACACACUGGCAAGCUUCCAUUCUAUCCAAAAUCCUCAAUGCCUCUAUUGUUUGACCCUUCUCACAAAAGCUUUUAAUCACAGAUGUAUAUGUGAUUACAUUUGGACUACAAUUCCCACCUGCUUUCUCCAUCUCCCCUAAUAAUUCCAAUGCCUUUUCCGUACUCCUGUACUUACAAAUACCCUCGAGAAGCACGGAAUAAGUCACAGCAUUUGGAGAAAACCCUUGCCCCUUCAUAGCCUGAAACAACUCACAAGCCUCCUCCAAUCUACCAGCAUUACAGAACCCCUUGAUCAUUGCAAAAUAAGUCAUCAUAUCGGGAUAAAGAUCAAUCAAGCCAAUCUCUUUCAUCAAUUUAUGAGCCAUAUCCAUAUCCCCUUUCUCACAAAGCAGCCUGAUAACCACAUUAUAAGCAGUAGUAUCCGGACGUAAAUUAAAUUCAGGCAUUUUCCUCAAUAGCAACAAAGCUUCAUCGGCAAUGUUAGCUUCUUUACACAAAUUCAAAACAACCUUAAACAUUUUAAGGUUAACUGAACACUUUUCCAUCCUGUAAGCUUUGAUAACAUCCAAAACAAGAAAUGGGUUUUGCUUAAUUUUCAAAAAUCCAGCAGCUUUGUUGUACAUAUAAGAACUAUACCUACAAUUUGAUUGAAGACCUGCCCAUAUGAAAAACCUUAAACCUAUUUGAGAUAGAGAUAUAUCAAAAGAACAUCUUUUUAACACCUCACAAACACAGUUUGGGUCCAAUUUGGCAUUGACUAAAGCUAAGGUUUUCUCUAUAUUGCUUUGGUUUUUCUCUAAAAGAGUGAAAAAUUUGUCGGCAGAGGAGACCGAUCUGAAUUGAAGAUUGAAAAUUUUGCUUUGUUUAGUGUGAAUUGAAAGUGAAAUCAAUCUAGAGAGAGAAGCAAUUGGCAUUGCUUUGUGGGGGAAUUUAGUGUCUUUGCAAGAGUUGAGGUUGAACAAAACAAUGAGGUAAAAUCUUACGAGAUUGUUUCCGAAUGAAGUUGGAUAAGUUUUGGCAAGAAUGAGGCCAGGUGUACCGAGUUGUUCGAAUGUGGCCCAGUACGGUGGCAUCAACUCAUAGCCAGGCAACCAUAACCUCAUAUAUGGCCCUGCAUUAUAACGAUAGAGCAUUAAGGUAACUCACAAUUAUGUAUGAUUUUCAUUUUAUUAAAAACAUAACAGUAUCAAGCAUAUAUCCGUGUUUGAUGUUCAAAUAUGAGUCCGGUGUGUAAAAGCGGAAACACGACAUUUCCUAAAAAUUAUUACCAUAUUAGCACAAGUCAGUGAUGGCUAAGCUUCUAUUACAUUGAAAGAUUGUUAAAUCGAAACCUGCAGUUUUAACACAUUAACUUCAUCAAAGUGGAAAAGCAAAACCGAAUUUUAUAAAAAUUAUAAUCGGAAACGAAAUUCACUUUGACGGAAACCGGAAUAACAACUGAGUUUAGUCGGUCGGUCCCGUCGGUUAAUCAUACCGAAAAAAUAUCAUGAAAAAAGCUGUUUUUUUUUUUAAUUUACACAAACCAUAAUGAAAGUAAAUUUGUAGUAAAUAAUUGAAUUUCCCAUAAUUGAUCGCAACAAAAAACUCAAUUUACAACCAUAAUUAAUUGGAAAGCUAAUCGAAAGUCAUAAGCUACCUGUUUCAUUUGGCUACUACUUCAAAUGACUACCAUAGAAUUUCGAAAUGGGCCAAAACUAAUUUUAGGGUAAAAGAAAAGUAGGCGAUGAGCAAGACGACAAAGUUGAACAUCAAUAGAUUAAAUAGUUUUAAAAGAAAGAUUGAACAGCUAUAUACAGUAGAUUAAAUGUGGCAAAAGCCAAAAAUAACUUACAGUGGCCGGUGACGAGGCGUUUUCCGAUGAGCAAGGCGGCAACCGAGGUCCGAGAAAGGUUGAAGGCGAUGAGCUGUUACCCACCGGCGUUGGGUUUGCUGGUUCAGUUCAAGGCUGUUCACCAUAGAUUUAGGCUUUUAUUUUUAAUUCGUUUAAAAUUUUUUCUUUUUUAAAUGAAUUAAAAUUUGUAUUUGGGUUUUUUAGUUUUUAGAAUUUGUAUUGGGCUUUAAUUUUUAUAGCUUGGAUCUUGUGUAUAAUGAAUUUAUUUGGGGAUUGGAAAAUGAGUAUGAUAUUUAUAUUUUAAAAAUAUAUAAAAUUAAUAAGUUAUAUUAAUUCGAAUUAGAUUUUAAAAUCGAUUGACUUAAAAUAAUUGAAUUAGUCUCUCAAAUCGAUUUGAAAUUAAAAUUGAUUUAAUUGAAUUAAGUGAAUCAAAUUUAAUCGAUUAAUUCGAUUUUAACCAAGUUUUCAUCAUCUUUAAAUUAAGUGAAAGUAUAUAUGUAAAAAUGUAUACUAUAUUUCAAACACAUAAAAGAGUUGGUAUCACGAGUCAACUGGACGCUAACUUAAGUGAAAAUACCCUUACUUUACAAAGUAAAUUGUAUUAUUUUAAGGAUGUUUUUGUCUUUCUACAUCUUUUAUAUAGAAAAAUGUUUACAUAUAAUAAGACUUUAACUUGUGUAUUUAUAGUUUCAACAUUUAUACUUUACAAUUCAACCAAAGUCUCAUUUACUAUAUUAAUUAAUUAUAAAUAUAUUUAUUAUAUAAUAUUAUGUUUUUCGUCUACGUGGUUGUGUCAUAAUCUAGUAAUAAUAGUAAAUAAAGUUUAUGCAAUUUAGGUUAAGUGAGUCACAGUACACCCAUCUCUUUACGCGCAUUUCGUUUUUAUCCCAAAGCUUUAAACUCACCACGCAGUCCUAGUCGUUCGCCGCAAUGCUUCGCUUUUCUUCAGUGGUUUCUGGCAUUGAUUUUGGUUUCAAUAUGUUCCCCUUAAUCUCCUGUCUACUAUUCUAGGAUUAUAUCCCAACAUCAUUGGUUUUCUCUAAUCUAAACUCAAAGUUUUGGUUGGCGUGCUUUCGGUCUCCCUCGCACACUGUUAACCACAACUCAAAUCUUAUAGUAGUCACUUUGAGCUUUCCAAAUCUAGUUUGACUAAAUUUGGGUCAAUGAAGCAUUUCACCAACGCCAUUCACUGCUCGAUCUUCUCAUGAAGCCAACGACUUGUUCCUUCUGUUCUCAUGAAUUGUAGGUUUUAUGUUUUCCCUAAUUUUUAUUCCUUGUUGGAUUGCAUUGUGUCACGGGUCAAGACUUUAGCUCCGAUCAUGUGUGACUUUAGAUUCGACUAAGUCAGCCUUUAGUCCUCGCUUGGGAGAGAUUUUAGCACACUUAGGGAACUUAGAUAGAACAAGAGAAUGUGGGAGAAUGUGGAAGCAUUCUUAUUAACUCUCAAAGUUAGCUUGUACAAAUGAGGGAUGAGAGCCUCUCCUUAUAUAAGUAAGCCCCAUUCAAUCCAACGGUUACAAUUGAUUACAAUAAAUGGUCAAUAUCACAUUCUAGAACUUUCCCACUUAACUCCAUUAAAUUCUAUACAUGAACGGAUAGUUCUAGAGCUUCCAAAAAUAUUCUACAUGGUUCUAAAGUCUUUCGGGGCACUUCGGGAAUCUUGUGGCUCAAUAGUCUCGUGUUUGCUCGAUUUCGGGCUUGAUAAGGCCUUGCUCACUCACGAAUCAUGACACUUGGAUUAGUUGCCUUGCUUUGUCUCUAUUUUUUUUUCAAUUGCAAAAUAGGAAAUCAAGAAAACUACUAGGUUUGUGCUAGGGAAUUUGCUUCAAGGGUAGGCAUUUCAACCCUUAAGGUUCUUUUGGAAGGGUAAGGAUGAAGGUAAAAGUGGGCUAGACUGUGUUAACCAAAGGUUUCAAAGAAUUUGACAUUCAAGAUUGUUAUAUUGCUACCUCGGCUUGGGCAUGUGGUAACAUGAGAAGCGAUUGAGGAAACACACAUGGAUGGCCUUCCACCUUAUAUCGUCCAUAUGAUUUCUCAAUGACCAAUCACCUGCAUGCUUCGUACUACCCAGGGGAAAGAUCAUCUAUCCUUAACCACUCGAUUGGACCCUUCGUUAGGCCACCCGCUAUUAGCUAGUGCACUCUCCUCAAGAGGAGACCUUCGAGUGGUGUAAUUGGACAGGAGACCUCCUACCUAUAAAUACCACAAGAUACAACAUAAAAGGGAUCUUCUUCUUCCUUCUCAUAAACCCUAAAUAACAUACUAAGCCCUUAGCCUCCUCUUAUUCCCUCACUUUUCCAACUCUUCACUUGUUUAGAUUAACCAACCUCCUUCGCUCCACCACCUUCUCCACCAUAUUUCCUCAUUUGUUGAUAUAUUGUAUCAACAAAUAUAUUUAAAAUAAAUAAAAUAUAUAAAUAUAUGAAGUUUGUUAAGUUGAUUGGUUCAAUUAUGAAUAUUAAUAACCUUAAACUGACUAACUUAAUCAAAAGCAUGUGCCAACUAAUUUAAUAAAAUACACAAACCCAAUAUUGGUUUAACCGAAUGAACCAAUUAAAUCAAUAAUAUUCGAUUUUUGCUUACCCUAUGCAUCCAAAGAGAAAAGAAAAUUGAUUUUCAUCCAAUUUUUUUAUUCGCUCUGCCUACCAUGCGGUGAAGGUUGAGCUAUAGAAAGAAAAAAAAAAACCCAUGCCCUUUCCAAUUUCAAAAUCGAAAUUUUUUCAAUCAAAGUAUCAUAAAAGCUCAUGUAGUAAAGUUAAAUUGUGUUUUGUCCAUUUUACUUAAAAAUUAAAAAAUUAGUCUCUAUAUAUUAGGGCAAGGAACAAAUUGGUCCUUUUAGCUAAAAAGUUCAUCAAUUUUUAACAAUAGAAAUGGAUAAAAUUUUUAACAGUGGAUAAAAUUUUUAACAGAGGACUAAUUGACUCUUUAAUCUAAUAUAGAUUAAUUUGGUUCUACUACAGGGUCAUCCACGAUACAUUUACCAAAAAUUUUCUCAUAUCACAUAAGUUUCUUUUUGGUUUAUAUCACAAGUGUCCUUAUUCGAUAUGAGAUUAGUUUCGCUCGGGUUAAGAAUGGAUUCGAGUAAAGCCCUCUCAAUAAUGAGAAUUCUAAAAAUCGAACUUAACCUAAAUUACCGACGGAAAAAUCCACUCUUUCCAAGCACUUGUUAAUACGGUUUAACAAUAUAUUUAGACAAAAAUAAUAAUAAUUGAAAUAAUCUACAUUCUUCUUAUGAUACAUCAGUGAUUUCAUAUCCGUUUUGUAAGAACCGGUUGGCGUUUAUGGUGUUUGGUUGCUGUUUUUUGUUCCAUAGUUGUCUUCUUUCUUUGUAUAUGUACUGAAUUACGGCUUUUUCCUCUUCUCAAAUGCUCCUUUCAAUACUGUCAUCCCACCCUAUCUUUCAAAUUCUAUUGCCUUUCUUUCUCUAUCUUCUAUUAUAUAUAGUAACUUGUCUCUGUUUCCCAAAUCUUUGUUGGCCAUUGUAGCUUAAACAAAAGCUCAACACCCGAGGUUUUAAGAAAAAAGGUUUGUUUUCCUUUUCUGCCUUCUCUUUUUUCCUUUUUGUCAUUCGCUUCUGCAUUAACUUACUUGUCCUUCGAUCGUUACAUCAUUUCAACAGACUGCGAUAUAUCGCCCGCCCUUAUAAUAUUAUUACCACUCUCCUCUUCCGUUAUAAAAAGUAUCCAAAUUUUGCCAUCGUUUUCUUCAUCAAAAUGAGCCAUAGUUUCAUAUUUUCCCUUCUUUUUCUCUUGAUUUUAAGCUCAACCCAACUGAGAUACAAAGCUGAAGGUAACUUUUAAUCAUCUUUUUCAUUAGGCAAUUUUUUCUUGCUUGCUUACUUUUGUUUCUGCAGGUAGAUCAAUACCAAAAUCCGAUGAAGAAAAGGCGAGGUUAAGAGCACAGAUAGGAUCAAGGCCACCAAGGUGUGAGAGAAGGUGCAAUUCAUGCGACCAUUGUGAAGCCAUUCAAGUGCCUACCAAUCCUCAAAUCUCCCAUGUUGCUUAUGCAAGAGGUGAUGGAAGCUCUAACUACAAACCCAUGAGUUGGAAAUGCAAAUGUGGCAACUUCAUCUUCAACCCUUAGCUCAUAAAUACAUAUAUAUUUUAGGUUCUUAAAUACCCAUUUUUGAACCAUGUAAGUAUUUUUUUUUUUUUUUUGCUUGUGAGAACAUAUUAGAAUUCCGUUGUGAAAUUUCUUGAUUAUCUGAAUCUUUAAAAAGAAAAUGAAUCUAUAGUACUUGCUGUUGCUGUGGGGCGUGUAUUUGUACUGGUAUNNNNNNNNNNNNNNNNNNNNNNNNNNNNNNNNNNNNNNNNNNNNNNNNNNNNNNNNNNNNNNNNNNNNNNNNNNNNNNNNNNNNNNNNNNNNNNNNNNNNACGUACUAAGAUACGAUUUCUUGGGCAAAUCGUUAUGACGUUGGGAGGAAGGGGGGUCUAGAAAUUAGUGUAAAGUAUUUACUUAAAAAGUAGACAAUGAUUUUUGAGUUGGUAUAGUUUCACCAUACACGCCAUCGUGUCUGGUUUUGGUGUCAACUAUUGUCGAAAAAUGCGAUAGGAAUUGAAGUGAUCAGAGAGGGUAAAGGAAAAAGCUUAAACUGUUCUUUUAAUGGCAGAUUCCAGUUGUGUUUUCUUCUUAUUGUCUCUCUUCGUUGCUUACUUGGCGUGUAAGGAAUUACAUAGUAACGAUUCCGUUUUCCUUGAAAACUUACUUGAACAGUCAGCUCGCCUGGUUUCAUUAACAUGACAAAACAUACAUGGGUCUAAAACCAAAACAACUUUUAGGAUUUAAUCUAAUUGUCUGAAUUGAUUAUCAAGAUUGCUCCGUUGGCUUAUUUCAUUGUUUCAUAAUGAUUAAUUCGAUUUUUUAAGUAUUUAAAUUAGAUUAAGUGCAAUUUUCAGUAAAAUAAACCAAUCCAUUUAAUCAACUUUUCUAUUUUUUAAAUAUGUUUAUAAUAUAUAAUUUUUUUGGGUAAAUAAAGGUAGUGGACACUAUUAUAAAUAACAAUCCCUCUAAAUCAUAUUACGCAUAUAGACUCUAGAAAUGAAAAUAACGUUUCAUCUCUGAGUAAGGGUAUUAAUAGUCUUGUUGAUAUAACUUCUUUUUAUUUUGGUAAAUUAUAUAGUAAAGUCAGUUCUGUAGAAGAAAAAGUAAAUAACUUAGGUAAUAUAAAAGAUUUAGACUUAAACCAUGAGUCUAAAGAAAUAUUAACUAAUGUUAAUAAUAAAUUAGAUCAAGUUUUUAAUAAUAAUAAUAUAGAGUCCGAUGUAAAUUUAGGUCCUUUAUAUUAUGGUAAUGGUCAAGAUCAUAUUUUUGUUUUAUCUGAUGAAGAAAACACUUCAUCUGAUGAGUCGUCAUCUAUGUUAAAAAAUUAUAAAAAACAUAAAAAACGUAAAAAAGUUGAUAAACAAAAAGAAUAUGAUUUCCAAUCCUAUAAAACACUUAUAGAACAUUGGAAAGAAAAAUUUGCUACUACUAAUGAUCAACUUGAAAGAGUUGAAUAUUUAAAACUAAUAGAAGAACUUUAUGAAAAACAUAAAGAUCUUUUUAGUAUGUUUAAUUAUCAUUAUAUGUUAAAAUAUGAUGAUACAAGUAGUGGUUCGAGUAAUUCUGAAAACACAUAAUUAUUCAAAAAUCAAUCUGGUGAAGAAAAAACUUCAACAGAUCAGGAAAUAAAAAAUAGAAACUUAUCUGAUGAAGAAAAAACUUCAACAGACCAGGAUGAAGACAUAAAAGUCUCAACCUAUACUUCUGAUGAAGAAACCACUUCAUCUGAAGAAGAAAAUAUAGACAUUCCUGAACCCAUGGAUACUGAACCACCAGAUCCUCGUGGAAAAAGGAAGUUAGAAUCUGAUGGUCUAACAGAUGACUAUCUUAGAUUUUCUAACAAAGAUUAUGAAUUAGAUAAUGGAAAAUUUAGAAUCUUUGGUAACAAAUCCGAAGAUAUAGCUACUAAUGAUGUUAAACCUGAACAUUUAGGAGAAACAUCUAGUCAACCUGUUCAACAAAGAAUAGAUGACUUAAAUAAAAGAAAUGUUGCUCAAGGAGGAAUAUAUUUAGAUUUGACUAAUAUUUCUAUUCCAGACUAUGAAAAAACCAUAGAAAAUUGGGCACAGUCAAUGACGAUUGUUGUAAACAACAACACAUNNNNNNNNNNNNNNNNNNNNNNNNNNNNNNNNNNNNNNNNNNNNNNNNNNNNNNNNNNNNNNNNNNNNNNNNNNNNNNNNNNNNNNNNNNNNNNNNNNNNNNNNNNNNNNNNNNNNNNNNNNNNNNNNNNNNNNNNNNNNNNNNNNNNNNNNNNNNNNNNNNNNNNNNNNNNNNNNNNNNNNNNNNNNNNNNNNNAAAAAGAUCAAGAUAGUGUUGCUAGCUAUACUCUUUCAAAAAUUAAAUUAUGUGAUAUUAGAUAUUUGGAUGAAUUUUCUAAAAAAUUUCUUCAUGAAUAUCAGAAAUUAAAAAAUGAAAAUAUAGAGUUUUGGAAAAACCAAUACUUUCAUAAAUUAACCCCACCUUGGGAUGAGAUAUGUAUAAACAAAUAUGUAUCUUAUUUAGAAAAGCAAAGUAAAACAUCUGGGCUUUCUUAUGAAAAUUUAGAUUCUAUAGGAAAUAGAAUUUAUUUUGCAAGAGAAAGAAUAACUUUGCACUGCUUGCAAACUAAAGCGGCUAAACAAGUCAAAAAUAAAUUAGGUUAUAAAUAUUGUUCUAAAAUAUUAGAAAAUGAAUGGGAAUUUGGGUGUAAACAAAUAUAUCCUAAAACCUAUAAAAAACGUAAAAAAAUAUAAAUUUAGAAAAUGGAAACCAGGUAAUAAAAAAAUUUCUGGUCAAAGUCAAAAAGUGGUAAGGAAAAAGAAUUCCAACCAAAAGAAACAAAUAUGUAAAUGUUUUAUUUGUGAUGAAGAAGGUCAUCUAGCUAACAAAUGUCCUAAUAAAGGGAAAAAUGCUAGGAAAAUGAUCAAAAAUCUUGAAGAACAAGAUUUAGAAAUAUGUUUCAUACAGGAAACAAAUCCUAAUGAAAUAUUAUAUGAAUUAAUAUCAGAAACAGAUUCUGAUGAAGAAUAUAUUUUUAUGUUUAAUAUAGGAAAUAAUUCUAAAAAUCAAUUAGAAGAAAUUCCUAAUUCUGAACAACAGAAUAUUAAAUUAGGAAGUCUAAUCGGAGAAGAAAAAGACUUUUCUGAUGAAAUGAUAGAGAAGAUUAACAAAAAUCAUAUCUCUAAAGAAGAAAUUUAUAAAAUCUCUAAGUUCAAAAUCUGGACACAGAGACACAUAGAAAAAAUUAGCGGUAAUACAGUCGCUAAAGAUACAAGAGGAGGAUUAACAGAAAUCCCACUCUUUACUAAAGAAAAAAUUAAGAGGAUUAGAAAGAAAUAUCCUCAAGUUAGAUAUAUUCAUUUAGGUAUAAUCAUGAUUACUAUAAGAGCCUUAUUUAGGAGAGGUCAUGGUAUUCCUAUUAUAGCAGUACUUUUAGAUAAAAGAUUUGAAAAUCCAAUAAAAUCACUUAUUGGAGGAAUUCAGUCUAAUUUACAUAUGGGCGUAAUAGGAUUUAAAGUUAAACCCAAUUACUUUAUUUCCAUUACAGAUCCUCUAAUAGAAGAGUGUCUUUGCCUUAGAAUUCAGACAAAAAAUUCUGAUAUUAAUGAUUUAGCAGAAGAUCUAGCAAUCAGUUGGACUUCUAUUAAUGAAUAUACAAAUACUGCUGAAGUAGAAAUAAAAGAGAUUAAUAACAAAAUUAUUGAACUCUUUGAACCAAACCGGUUCACUACUGAAAUUCAGCCUAGAUUAUUAGAUAUAAGAGAUCUGUCAAUUCCAAGAGAUUGGAUGAUAGAUAAAAUUAGUAAUGCAAGUACUUCUAAACCAGUAAGUACUAUAGAAUACAUGUCAUCUGGAAACAAAUUAUAUUUUAAAAAUAAUUGUAUAACCAAUACAAAUGAAAAUUUAGUUUUACCCUCUAGUUCUCAACCGGAAGAAGAAGAGGAUAAUAUUAGUACAAACAGUACACCAAUAGGAAUUAAAACUAUACAAAUUCCUAUAUUUCCUACUGAACCCAGUAUUAAUUCUAGAAAAACUAGAAUGGAAGAAAUACAGGUUUCAACGAUUGAUAAAAAGUCAAAAGUUGGAAUAAUUAUAAGAAUUACAUUCCAGUUUAGUAAAUAUAAACCAUAUUCUCUAAACGCUAUGAUAGAUACUGGAGCUACAAUCUGUAGUUGCAGAAUGAAUGCGAUCCCUGCAGAAAAAUGAGAAUUAAUUAGAAAACCUAUAAUAAUAAAAGGUAUAGAUGGUAAUAAAACCAUUAUUAAUUAUAAAGCAAAAAAUAUACCAAUCUACAUAAACAAUGUUAGAUUUGUAAUUCCUAAAAUUGUAUGUUUUCCUAGUAUGCAAACAGAUAUAUUAUUAGGAAAUAAUUUUAUACUUAGACAUUUACCUUUUACUAUUAACAAAAAUAGUAUUUGGUUAUCAAAAGAAAAAGAUUUUAUAAAAAUACCAAUUGAAGAAGAUAAUAAAAUUGUGUGUAAUAAAAAUUUUACACCAGUUAAAAUUAAUUAGCCAAUACUUGCAAUUUAUUACUAAUACUUGCUGAUUUUUUAAGCAGGCCUUAUGGAUAGAGGUAAAAAACCUCUACAUCAAGCAAUAGUUGGUGAAUGGACAACCGUUCACAAAAAACCCAUCAAAGGGAAAGCAGAAUCAACAUCCAAAAAAGGAUUUGUACCUGCACAACAAACACCAUUUUAUCCUAACCAAGGAUAUUAUGUGUCUUAUCCAAUGGUAAACCAACCACUUGGAUCAAAUGUUUUAAAUUACCCAAUGGUAAAUCAACCAAUGGGAAAUACUUUUUCAUUGACCCCAAACACGGUGAGUCAAUUACAAUGGUCCCAAAAUCCGAAUUCAGUAUCACAAACAAGUUAUGCUGAAGUCAUUAAGGGAGCAGAGAAUUUGUUGAAUCAACAAUAAAUUCAAGAAUUAAAAGAUCUUUCAAAAAUUAAAGAUUUUUAUAAUCCUGGUUUAUUACCAGAAAUUUAUAAUUUUAUAAAUGAAAUAUGGAAAACCCAUGUUUCACAACAAAGAGCCAGUUUCCGUGGAGCUCUUACCAGAUUUUCAUUAUUUUUAGUUGAAAAAACAACUAAAGAGAAUGAAGCUGAAGAUUUAUUACUAAAAUCUAUUUUAUAUAGAGAAUGGGAUGAAUUCCAGCUAGAAUUCAUUGAUAUUAAGGAGAUAAACAAUCUUCUUGAUAUUAUUCAAUAUUUUAUUCAUAAAGGGAAAAACAAUUCUAUUAUGAAUAAAGUAUUUAGAAUAUGUAUGUAUAAUAAAGCUAGGAAAUUAUUACCAGUAGAAAUAUUCAAAAAAAUAAAUAAAGUAAUUUGCAGACAGCAAAACCAGUUUCAAAAAGCUUUUUCAGAAUAUUUUCUACANNNNNNNNNNNNNNNNNNNNNNNNNNNNNNNNNNNNNNNNNNNNNNNNNNNNNNNNNNNNNNNNNNNNNNNNNNNNNNNNNNNNNNNNNNNNNNNNNNNNAUUUAAUAUAACCAAUAUUGAAUGGAGUUUUACUAAAGAAAUAGUUGUGCAAAAUCUUUCUUUUCAUCUUUUAAAAGAUUUUCCAGCUAUUGUAAAAUCUGUUUUACAAAACAUCAUAAACAAUGAUGAUUUUUAUUACUAUUUUCAUAUUGAUAUUAGUAGUCUAAUUGGUAUAGCUGAACAAGAAAAAUUCUAUCAGCCGUAUCAAAUUUGGAUUAUUAAAAGGAUGAUUGGAACACCCCAAUUAUCUGCUGUAAAUGAAGAUAAAGAACAUUUGUCAAAAACAAUUGAUAAAUGUUAUAAUAAGUUUGAAGAUUAUCAAGUCCAAACAUGAUUAGAUUUAUUAUCACAAGCCCAUUAUCUUCUCUAUGAUGAAGUCUACAAACUCUGGACGGAUGGAAGAAGAAUUUUGACAUUUCCAAAUGGAAACAUCCAGGAGGAAAGAAAUGAAGAAUCUGUGAAGCUAUUAAAAAAGAUUGUUGAAAUGGAGAUAGAAGAAUUUCCAUCUCACAUUACAGAAAAAAUCAAAUACACAUGGGAGAUGUGGAACUCACCACCAAGACUCUCAUCAGAUUCUUUACAUUUGGAUGAGAUCGAAGAAAUGAAUCUCAACAACAUGCAAGAAGGUUGAAGUCAACAAAGACAGCAACUUGAUAAGAAGGAAAUCCACAUACCGACAACAAAGUUUGGCAACGUGGAUGUCAUCAUCAAACCCAUGAUGGAGACAAAAGAAGACAAUCCAUAUGCAGACAAACAAGUCUUGCAACGUGGAAGUUAUCAUCAAACCAAUGAUGAUGUAAGCAAUGAUGGAAGCUACCAUGACACAAGCAAGUGAUGGAAGCAGCCAUUAAUACAAGCAUGCAACGUGGAAACAACCAGGUCCAUGCAAUUAAAGUUACAAAAGAUGGAGACGUGGAAGCAACCACAUCCACAAAGUAGCCGAAUCCUUAUCAGAAACACUGUUCGGGAUUCAAAAUACAAUUGUAUAGAAUUUUUUAAUUUUCCUCUAUAAAUAGGGAGGAAAGCUCAAUUGUAUAGCAUCUUGUAAAUUCCGCAUUAUCUUUCUUUUAGUUUUCUCUCUUCUGUAAACAUUUUCCUUUUGUAAUAAAGAGUCUAUAAAUAGGGAGGAAAGCUCAAUUGUAUAGCAUCUUGUAAAUUCCGCAUUAUCUUUCUUUUAUUGCUAUUUUUAUAUCUCUUACAAUCAUAUUUGGAAGGAAAUAUCAAGAAGAAAAUCAGCUCAAUUUACUUAACCCGCCUAAGAAUUAAUGUUGAGCUUAGAUAAAUUAAGAACUAAAUUAAUCUUACAAAGUUAAUGAAUUAUGAAUACGAGUUGAAUAGUUUAAGGUAUGUUAGACAUUAUUUUUAGGAAUAUUUAUUUAUAUUUUAUAAGAUUUAACAAGUUUUUCUAUCAAUAUAUGACACUCGGAAUAAAUAUUUGAGUCCAAUUCUUAAGCAUGCAAAUUCAUCAUCUAAACUCCUAAUGAUGUACAAUGACUUGUAAAUAAGGGUGUCAAAGUUUUCUUUAAGUAACAAUUAAUCUACCUAUGAGAUUAGCUAGUUAAAUCGAUUUGUUUUCAUUUUUCAACUAGAAAGAUAAAGGUCUUUGUCACCUUAAAAAUGAAAAUUUGUGAUUUAAUCCCUCUGUAAAUGAUAAAUUAUAAAUUAAUAUAUGAUAAAAUUACAUUUUAAAUUUAAAAUGAAAAAAGAUCUAUUUAAUUCCUUUAAAAAUGAUGAAAUCUUAAGUUAAUACAUUAUAAAAAUUUAUAUUAACCUCUAAAAAAAUUAUAAUUCGAUUCUAACACCUAAUAAGUUUAACUAGAUAUGACCAUAUAUACCCCAACCAUUAAAUUGAUCUUUCACAAAUUCUCGUAGAUAAAAUAAUAUUGCAGAAACCAUAUUAACCAAUUAUUAUAAACACAAAUCAAGCAAAAGGAGUAGCUUAAGUUAAGACCCAUCAAAAACAACGUUUUGGAUCCAAUAGAGAGGAGUAAAAAUCCUCAACAAAAUAUACUAAAGAAAAAAUAAACAAUAGAGAGCUGUUUCUAUACAAGAGGAAAUGAAAAGACACAAGAGAGAAAAAAAAAAAAAAAGGAACCAAUCAAUCAUGGUGAUGAUGAAGAAGAGCUGAGGAUAAGAGUUGAUGGGAUAUUUCAUUAUCGUAUUGUAUGAUUAUUUUUUCCAUCUAUGGGUUUUUUUUUUUUUUAAAAAAACUUUGUUUUACGAAGUGAAAUUCGCUAUACUACAAAAUUCAUGCAUAGAUCUUUCACGUAGACAUGACUAAACAAAGGGUUUUCCUUGCAUAUAGGUACGAUUUUCGUUGUUUUUUUUGGGGGGAGGGCGGGGGGUUAAAAUCAAUCAUAUAAACAGUGGGAGCAAAGGAAAAUAUACUGAAUGACAGUAGCUAAUGGAUAGGCAGACAAGGUGCUGUUGCAGCAAACAAGUAAUGGGGUCAAUACCUAUAUGGGUGCUCUUUGUUGGCUCAAGUUUGGACAGUAAACAUAUACGUUUGUACAUGUAAAUUUUGGAAAUCUAUUAUUCUAUUUUUAGGUCAAUUGUAGCAUACAUCUACAAUAUUGAAUUGGUUUUCAAUUAUAUUUGAGUUUUUUUUUUUAAUUACAAGAGGAGGGCAAAGUCCUAACAGGAACACGUUUUGAACUCAGGCCAUGCUUGAGGUGAUGAACACUCUGAUCAUCAGGCCAACACACGGGAUAAGUUUUGAUGUUGAAUGUUAAUUUGAAUUUAACAUGAAUUAUAGGGUUUGAAUUUUGAUUAAUGAGGAGUCAACAAUGGGUAUUAAUAAUUGAUCUCUUAUGUUGUUGUGAUUCAUAUAUUUUAAAUAUGCUUCACAUUAAAUCAAAACUAAUAUUUAAUGACUGAGCUAACGAAAUGGCUUACUUGAUGUGAUCCUAAUAUUUUAAAGAUUCAAUUAAAACUUUUUACAAUUUAUGAACUAAUUUAAAAUAUGGAUCGCUAAUGUCUUCAUUAGAUGGAGAUAGAGUUCUAAGCUUCAGGUUUAUAAUAGAGUUUAUGUUCUGGGAUGAUCUCCGAUGUUUAAGUCAAUGGAAGAAUGACGAAGAAAGUUUGAAAUAAUGUUGUUAAGUGUAUAUGUAGUGGUAAACAUGUUUCUUCUUUAUCCUUGAGCCCCUAGCUGUGUCUAUAGUCAUUGUUCUUGAAGACAAACGAAGAUUAUAUUUAACUCUUUGUUGAAGAUUAUAAUUAGUUGAAGUAUGCGUCCUUAAUUCGAUAAGAUUAUAUUUUUAACUCUUUGUUGGGUACAUGCAACUUAGUCAUCACAUCGCACAUAUAUAUGCACUUGAGAGAUAUGGGGCCUUCCAAGCUAUUGUUUGUGAGAGCUCGAGGCUUUAGCUCUCGACUAAUAAAACUAAAGUUAUAAUUUGAGGAUCACCGAUGAAUUAAUCAUUUACUUUUUUCAAAUUUAUUAAAAUAUUAUUUUAUAAAAUAAUUAUUUCCAUCCAUUAUAUAUUGAUUUAAAUCAUGAGUUAAUGUCACCUUUGACCCAUAAACAAUGAUAAUCACACGAUUAAUUGUGAUAAUUACUUCUAUAAUUGUGAUGUAUAAACAUAAUGUGAUAUUCUUUAUGGCAAUUUAAAUUCCUAAGAUGAAGUGACAAAUGACAUAUUUCCAUAACAUAGAGAAAAAUACUGACGAUACAAUAUGCAAAUUCCAGUGGCAAACUUUGCAUCAAUUAUUAUAUGACUAUAUUUUUGGUACAAAUAUAAUUUAUAUUACAUUUUAAAAAAUUCACAGAAAUCCAAUUCUCAAUAUACGAUAAUGGUUUUUUUUUUUUUUAAAACCUAGAUUAUUCACUACAUGUAGUAAGGCUUAAUUUUUUUUACAGUAAAUAUUCUCCGAAUAAGUAAAUGAAUAAUCAUAAAAAUUGUGACGCUUUUAUUCCUUUAUUUAAUUAAAAUGGUAAUAUAAAUUUAGAUUAAGGAAUAACUUAUAAGGAUGAUCUUAAAAAUUAAGGUUUUUAGGUAUAAAUCAAAUUUUGUCAUAUCAUCAAAUUUUAAUAUUAUAUACACUCAUCUAUAGAACAAUUAUUUUAUGGACCAUUCUCAGUACCACAUUAUUCAUGGUCCAUUUUCAUUUAUUUAAUAACAUUUUAACAAUUUUUUCCAUGUCAUUGACACAUAAUUUUGGUAAUUUUUUACGUUGAAUCUAGAUUCUCGAACCCUAAACUCAAAACCUAGAACCUCAAAUCCUAAACUCGUAGCCCGUAACCUCAAACCUAAACCUUGAAUCUUGAGAUUUGGGGUUUAAGGUUUAAGGUUCAGGAUUCGAGUUAAGGUAAAAUAAUUUUCAAAAUUAUGUGUCAAUGACAUGGAAAAAAAUUACACAAAAAUUAUUAUUUUUUAAAAAAAUGGUUGCACAAAAAUAAAAAAUGUUAACUUAUGGAAAAAAUGAUUAAAUUUUGUAAAAAAAAUGUUUGUUUAUAAUUUAAAAAAUUAAUUAUUUUAAGUAAUUUAAUUAAAGUUAAAUUAAGUUGGAGAAGAUAUGGGAUAUAGAUAGUGUAUUACAAUAUUUUGUUAUCUUUAAAAUUUAAUGACGUGGUACUAUUUUAUUGGUGCCUAAAAACUAUGCUUUUUAGAAUAAUCCUAAUAUGAUUUAUCCCCGGUACAAUAUCAUAAACAAUAUAUGUAUGAUUAAUAAGUACAGUUACAGUUAUAACCCUAGUAUAAUUACAAUACAAAUUACAAAUAAUAUAUAACCAAUCAAUUUAAUGUAAAAUAUAAUAGACUAAAACCUAAAAUAUUAUCUAGAUUUAAACGAGAAUAAAUAUUAACAAAAUCUAGACAUAAUAAACUUAAAUCCAAAAUAAUCUAAAAAAAAAUCCGUAUCUCAAUUUCUACCAUAGUAUAAAAACUUUAUUAGGUUUUAAAAAAUUAAAUCAAUUAAUUUGCUAUUACUUAAAUAAGUUGAUUAUAUUAGUGUAAUGUAGUUUAGAUGUUGUCCAAUUAAUUAUGAAAGAACAAAUGUAACUUAGGAAAAAUUGUAAGUUUUGAAAAUCUUUGAGAUAUAUUCUCGAUUGGUAAAGGUGGAGAGUUGAAUCAUAAAACUAUGAUUUUAUAUUCUACUCCAUGAGGCCUUUACAACAGUAUAUCAUAUGCUCAAAAUGGUUGAGUGAUGAGAGAAAUUGAUAUUCAAAGCAAGCUACUUGUGAAUAUUUGUUGAGGAAAAGGAAAGCUUGGAUUCCACAUUGGUUAAAUACCAAGUUAAUAUGUGUGUAUAUAUGAGAAUCCACUUGAAAGGUGAUUGAAUGAUUAAACUUGAAACUUUACCUUGCGCGUAAAAAGGGUGCAAAUCUAAACACAUCGGAGUUAGGAUACAUCUGCACGACGUGGGCGACACAAAAUGUCCGAACUGAUCAAGCUAAUAUUGGGUUUUCGAAUAUUUUAGUUCAACAUGAAAUUUAUUUUUCUAAGCAAAUAUAUACAAAAUAUGAUUUAAAAUGACAAAUAUCCUAAUUUUAUUUGAUUUGAUUCCAAUCAAAUUGAUUUAAUUUCUCCUUUAAUACAUAUUUUGAUCUUUAUUUAUGGAUAUUUCCAAAAUUCCUCCAUAUUGAAUGCCUAUAAAAAUCUAAGAAUUCUUUAGAAUUUUUUGGACACACUCUCUCUCACACCAAGUUUAUUUUGCUCUCCAGAAUUCUUCUUUUUUCCUCUCCAUAUUUUCCAAUGUUUUCAGUGAUAGAAGAAGGCAAUGUUUGUUCAUUGAUCACCACCGAGGUACUACUGCUUUGAUCAUCGUCACUACACCAGAACAGGUUUUUAGUAGCGUUUUUUUAGGCCUUUAGCGGCGCUUUUUAACGCCACUAAAGGCAUUUGCGGCGCUUGAAGAAGCGCCACAAAAAAUGCCGCUAACGACAACGUCGCUAACUUUUGCGGCGCUUACAGAAAAAAAACGCCGCUAAAGAUCAUGUUCUUUAGCGGCGCUAAGGAAAAAAACGCCGCUAAAGAUCAUGAUCUUUAGCGGCGCUUACGAAAAAACGCCGCUAAAGAUCAUGUUCUUUAGUGGCGCUUGGGAAAAAACGCCGCUAAAGAUCAUGUUCUUUAGCGGCGCUUAGGAAGAAAACGCCGCUAAAAAUAAUGUUCUAUAGUGGCGCUUUGUCAAAAACGCCGCUAACAGUAGUGCUCUUUAGCAGCGCUUAUUUCACAAACACCACUAUUUGAUAUGACUUUUAGCGGCGCUUUUUUAAAAAACGCCACUAAUUUUGGGAUUUUUUUAAAAUAAAAUUUUCUGUUUUUUUCAGCCCUCCUGCAACAAAAAAUCAAAAGCAACCAGAUCUAAAUUAACCAAAAACAAUAAAUUUAUAUAAUAUUUCAAAUUAAAUGACUAAAAUAAUAUUAAUUGAUAUAAAUAAAAGUGAAUUCAUACUUUUCUUUUCAAAAACGUUAAAAGUUAAAAUGAUAAAAAUAUUUAUGCAAUAUACACUAUGACGGCGGAAGUUGCGACUGCUGAAACAUCUUCAUCAUAAUCUGAAGCUGCUGUUGAAGUUCGUCGUACUUUUUGCUCUGCUCUGCUUCUCUUGAUGCCGCAUCUUUUUGAAGUCGUAGCUGUAGUUCUUCAUAUUUCUUUUGAACCUCUGCUUCUACCGCUGUUUCUCUCGCUGCUUCUCUCGCUGUAACCUCUGCUUCCCUCGCUGCCGCCACUGCUUUAAGUUGUUGCUAAAGUUCUUUAUAUUUCCUUUGAACCUCAAAUGUGGUCGCUUGCAUCUGAGCCAUCUGGUCUUUUAACCUCUGAACUUCAGCUUGAGAUUGACUCCCCGAAGCCAUGUAUUGGUGCGAGCUGGAUCCAAAAUAUUAGGUUGGGCUGAUAAAAGAUCCUUGAAAUCGAACCCGACCAUACUUUUUAGGACCCAAAACUUCAGUAAUGAUCCGGUUAUCAAUGUCUUCAAGAUGAACAGAACUAUCACUAGAAGCAAUCGCUUCGUACUCCGUCUUUUUUUCCUUUAGUUUUUCCUAAUAAAUAAAUCACAUAGUUAGGAACGCAAUAUAUAUUAAAAAAACAAAUGCAAUAUAACAAUAGUCGCAUUACAAGCAAUAAAUUAAACCAUUAUAAAAUAAGCACUAUAAAUAACUAAAACAAGUUAAAUCGUAUUAAGUAAACGUACCAUAAUUUCACCAGCUUCAGGAGUCAUAACAGAUCCAUCUUUCUUCUUAUGUGUAAUUUCAAAAAGUUGAAGGCNNNNNNNNNNNNNNNNNNNNNNNNNNNNNNNNNNNNNNNNNNNNNNNNNNNNNNNNNNNNNNNNNNNNNNNNNNNNNNNNNNNNNNNNNNNNNNNNNNNNNNNNNNNNNNNNNNNNNNNNNNNNNNNNNNNNNNNNNNNNNNNNNNNNNNNNNNNNNNNNNNNNNNNNNNNNNNNNNNNNNNNNNNNNNNNNNNNNNNNNNNNNNNNNNNNNNNNNNNNNNNNNNNNNNNNNNNNNNNNNNNNNNNNNNNNNNNNNNNNNNNNNNNNNNNNNNNNNNNNNNNNNNNNNNNNNNNNNNNNNNNNNNNNNNNNNNNNNNNNNNNNNNNNNNNNNNNNNNNNNNNNNNNNNNNNNNNNNNNNNNNNNNNNNNNNNNNNNNNNNNNNNNNNNUUCUUCAAAGUACUUUUAUUGUCUCUCCAUCUUUUUCCCAAUGCCUUCUUUACAUAAGCAUCCGAGACCUCUAAAGCAAACCUCGCCUACAAAAAACACAAGUUAAUAAAGUACAUAUAAAUGAAACUAUUUCCCAAGCAUUACAGAUGACAUUAAUAAAAUUUGUUACCUUAAUAUUAUCGAGGGCUUGGUUUUUGUUGCUAUCGGGCAUUUGACGCCAUGACUCGUAGUUGAUAGGCAACAUAUUCGCAUUUCGUGCUAAAAUGCCCAUGUAUCCUGCUAAAAGUCGAGCUUCUGAUCCAACAGGCUGACCAAAACUGUUUCUGCAUACCUUGACACGCUCGACUAGAUCUAACUCGUAUAACUCUCUAAGUAGCGUACGUCCUCGACCUCUGCGCGUCCCACCAUUUUCAGCUACAAAUGGUAUAUUAUAAAAUAAAAAUUUGAAGAAUAAAUCAAUUAUAAGUCAACACGCAUGUAAAUUAAAUGUAAAAUUACUUUGAACUUCCGUAGGAUCCUCAGGUGUAAUCGGAACAUUCGGAGAUCCAAUUGCUGUCCGUUGUUCAGUACUAUUUGUUUCUGUCGNNNNNNNNNNNNNNNNNNNNNNNNNNNNNNNNNNNNNNNNNNNNNNNNNNNNNNNNNNNNNNNNNNNNNNNNNNNNNNNNNNNNNNNNNNNNNNNNNNNNUUUCCCUUAUAAUUUUUCUUCUAGGCAUUUUAUCUGCAAUACACAUAAAAUGUAAUUAAACUUAAUAACUAAUUACAACAAUAACAGCACAUAUAAAAUAGUUGAAAUAUAUAAUAAGACCAAGAUUUAAUACUAAUAUAAGUUACAUAUAAUUAAACAAUCGUAAAAUCUUACUACAUCAUUAUUCGUAAAUAUCUUCAUCCGUAUCCUGAAGAACCCAUUGAAAUUGUGCACUAGUACUAGGGAUAUUAUCGUUUAAGUUUUGUCUUGGAAAUGGCAAAGUUUCUGAUCUGUCGUCAAUGUUAUCUCUACUUCCACUGCCCAUGUCAAACAAGUCUCUAGAGAUGUUACGGAGUACAACGUACCAACCCUCAUUAGUUGGAUCUUUUGAGUAAAAAACUUGUUUGACUUGAGAUGAGAAUACAUACGGCUCAUCUAUCAGUUGUUGUCCAGUGUGAAUUAAUCGGUCAAAGUUCACCAUUGUAAAACCAAAUUGAUCUUGCUUGAUUCCACGAGCUGUAUUAACAUCGGCCCAAUCACCUCGAAAUAAGACAACUUUCCAUUUGCCGUAGAAAUCCAACUCAAUUAUGUCAGUAAGAUGUCCGAAAUAUUCCACAUUUCCCUCGACAGGAUUAUUGUCCCUAGCACUAGCAUAACUUAUAAUUGUAGAAUUAACAACUAUUCCACAAUUUUGCGUUCUCCUCAACCUCUCGCAAUAUUUUGUAUGAAAUCUGAAUCCGUUGAUGAGGAACGCACUAUAUCUUUUAACCACUCGAUUUGGACCUUGGGAGAGCCAUUUAACUUCGUCGUCUACGUUCUUCCCACUCCAAACCUAUUGAAUGGAAAGUAAACUGAGUAAUUAAAAAUGUUAUGCGAAAACAUUAUUAUUUGUAAGCGGAAGCUCCAACUGCAUACCGUUUGGCUUAACCAUUCAUAAAAAGAUUCUGUAAACAACUUAUUGAUAUCUCGAUGUUGUGUUCUUCCGGAGCGCGAACGAGAUCUCAAUAUUUGUUUGUACUCACUGUGUUAAAAAAUGUUCACUUUGUUAGAAGAUAAACAAUUAUUAGUUUGAUAAAUAUUUAUCAAAUUUGUAGAACUUACUUCCGUAAAGGUUCCAAUGAUUCAUGGUGAAACAGAACAUAUCGAUGUGCUUGUACCCACGAUAAAUGAUCUAAUUCUGCAAUUUCAACUUUACCGAUUGGUUCUCCAAAACUUUGGAACAAAUAAGUAUCGGCUAAGUUAUGGUCUGCGAGUCCAGCAUUCCUAUUUGGUCUGUUCAACCUUGUUUCAACAUCUUCCAAAUAUCUUGAGUAGAAGGUCAUACAUUUCUCUGCCAAGUAGCCUUCAGCAAUUGAUCCUUUUGGAUAUCACUUGUUGCGGUAGUAAGACUUUAAUUUGGAUAGGAACCUAAACACAAUAUACAACAUUAUCAAAAGAUGUAACUAAAGGCAUAGAGGUGAAUGAAGGAAAAUUUUAAAAAUUUUAACUAACACCUUUCUAUGGGAUACAUCCAUCGAUAGAAAACGGGUCCGCCAAGAAUUGCUUCGUGCAGGAGAUGGAUUAUCAAGUGAACUAUAAUGGUGAAGAAUGAAGGUGUGAAGAUUUUCUCCAUGUUGCAUAAAGUCAAAGCGGCUCGAUCCUGUACCUUCUGAAGUUCUUGAACAUCCAAAACUUUGCCACAAUGGCUUUCAUUAUAUUGAUAGUUCAAUUAUACAAGACGUCACCUUCUUGGACAUACAGAUCGUAGAGCAACUGGCAGUAAAUCUUGCAUCAAGAUGUGAUAGUCAUGUGAUUUUAGCGAAUAUAAUCUUCGAUCUUUAACACUAACACAUCAAGAUAUAUUUGAUGCAUACGCAUCUGGAACCUUNNNNNNNNNNNNNNNNNNNNNNNNNNNNNNNNNNNNNNNNNNNNNNNNNNNNNNNNNNNNNNNNNNNNNNNNNNNNNNNNNNNNNNNNNNNNNNNNNNNNAUGCAAAACAGUUCUUUCACCGUCUUGGACAUUGAGAAAAUAGAAGGUGGCAACCGAUAUUUCCCAUUCGGAAGUGGAUUGGGAUGAAGAUCAGGCCAAAUUCCCAUUUGGACUAAAUCAAGUCGACUCUGAAGAUUGUCUUUUGAUUUUCCGUCGACAUUCAAAAUUGUACCCACAAUGUUCUCGCAGACAUUUUUCUCAAUGUGCAUAACAUCAAGAUUGUGUCGUAAAAGGUGAUGCUCCCAAUAAGGCAACUCAAAAAAAUACUUCUUUUUUUCCACAAGUCCGCCUCAUUAGGAUCAUCAUCUUCAUCAGAGUCAUCAUCAGCUUCAUCAUUUGAUCUUCUAUUUCUUUGUGUGCUUGGCGGUUGGUUCAUCUUCCCAUAAAUGAAAUUCAUAUCUUCCAACAUGAACAAGAUUUCAGAGCCACUGGUCUGCAAAAGAGCUUCUCUGAACUCUUCAGUACUGUCCAAUACGGAACUCUGAAAUCUAAAUCUAUGAUUUUUCGGUAACCACCGACGAUGCCCCAUGUAAGAGAACUUCUUCCCAUUGUACAACCAUUGCGAACAUGUUUGUGCAGCACAACAAGGACACCCAUAACGACCCUUGGUACUCCAACCGGAUAAAUUGGCAUAAGCGGGAAAGUCAUUAAUGGUCCACAUCAAAGCUGUACGUAAAUUAAAGUUCUCCUUUCUCAGCACAUCGUAUGUCUCGACACCAGCCAUAAUUGUUUUAACUCUUCAAUAAGUGGCUGUAAAUAAAUGUCGAUAUCAUUCCCGAGCCCUUUCUCUCCAGGGAUAAUCAUAGAUAAGAUAAGGGAAAAUUGCUUCAUGCAAAUCCACCGAGGCAGAUUGUAAGGAACAAGCACUACUGGCCAAGUACUGUACGCAGUGCUCAUGAUCUUGAAAGGAUUAAAUCCAUCAGAUGCUAGCCCAAGCCUCACACUCCUAUGAUCGCUUGCAAAGCCUGGAAAUUUAUUGUCAAAUGAUUUCCAAGCUAAAGAAUCUGCCGGAUGCCUUAGUAAGUCAUCAUCGGUUCGUCCAUCAUGGUGCCACGUCAUUGAUUCUGCUGUCUUCGACGACAUGAAAAGCCUUUGAAGCCGUGGCAUCAUUUUCAUCGUCGUUCCCAUCUUCUGUGUUUCUACUAAUCCAACGGGAUUGGCCGCAUACAUGACAGCACUGUUGGUUUUUUCGAUCGCCCCAAUACAAUAUGCAGUCAUUUGGGCAACUAUGGAUUUUGUUGUACCCAAAGCCUAAAUCUUUUAUUAUUUUCUUCAUAUCUUUGCAUGACUGAGGGAUUUUUGCAAACAGAAACAUUUCUCUCAAAAACUCUAACAGCAUUGUCAACGAGUUUUCGGUCCAUCCUCCCAAACAUUUUAACUAAAAAAGACGAACACAGAAUGACAUUUUUGAAAAUUUUGAGCCCUCAUACAGUUCUUCGUUCAUGUCAUUAAGUAGCGCGUAGAACUUCGCCGCUUCUCCAUUUGGCUCUUCAUGAGGUACACUACUGGCCGGUUCGGUAAAUGCAGUUCCACUAAUAUUACAAUCAUCAGAUGCCACAAAAUCCGCUGGGAACGACUGCACACCAUGAUUAUGCAUAUUAAAUGCAUCUCGCAACAUACCUUCCAUGUCAUCCCCUCUUUCAGACUGAUGGUAUUUAGCAGUACCAGGAUAAGAUACAUCCAUCCUUGAAGAGGAAGUACUAGGCGAGCAUUCUCCAUGAAAAAAUCAUUGCUUAUAACCCCAAACAAACCCAUCAACAAUUAGAUGCUCGUAUACAACCUCACGAUAAUGCCAGUUUAUGUUGACACACUUCUUACACGGGCAAAGAAUCAUGUUCUCUUGGCUUGCAUAUUGAAAUGCAAAAUUUAGAAAAGUCUCAACUCCGUUUCGAUAACCGUUGCUUACCCUUGACAAAUUCAUCCAAGAUCGGUCCAUAUCUUAAUUCUUGAAGUCUGACAUUGACAAUAAAUUGCACGGGUAAGUUAUGUAUUAUGUAAGCUAUGUAAGUUGUGUAUUAUGUAAGUUAUUAUUAUGUAAGUUAUGUAAGUAAUGUAUUAUGUAAGUUGUGUAUAAUGUUAGUUAUCAAAGUUAUGUAUUAUGUAAGUUAUUUAAGUUAUGUAAGUUGUGUAUUAUGUAAGUUAUGUAGGCUAUGUAUGUUAAAUAAGUAAUGUAUUAUGUAAGUUGUGUAUAAUCAGCUUCAUCAAAGUUAGGUAUUAUGUAAGUUAUUUGUGUUAUGUAAGUUGUGUAUUAUGUAAGUUAUGUAGGCUAUGUAUGUUAAGUAAGUAAUGUAUUAUGUAAGUUGUGUAUAAUGUUAGUUAUCAAAGUUAUGUGUUAUGUAAGUUAUUUAAGUUAUGUAAGUUGUGUAUUAUGUAAGUUAUGUAGGCUAUGUAUGUUAAGUAAGUAAUGUAUUAUGUAAGUUGUGUAUAAUGUUAGUUAUCAAAGUUAUGUAUUAUGUAAGUUAUUUAAGUUAUGUAAGUUGUGUAUUAUGUAAGUUAUGUAGGCUAUGUAUUAUGUAAGUUAUUAUGUUAUUAUGUAAUAAGUUUAUAUAUAAGUUUAUAUUAUGUAAGUAUUUCACUUUUAUGUAUCUUAUUUAUAAUUAUUUUUAAAAUUAUAAAAUUCAUUACUAAUAAAAUUGAAAUGUAGGAUAUUUUUUUUUGAAAGAAAACCCGAAGGUUAAAACUUUAUUUAAUCGCAUCAUUAAGAACAAUAUCGUGGAUUUCCGUCGGAAAAUCCAUGUUAAAGUCCAUACAGCUCUUGUUAAGGUUUGCCCAUUUACACAGGGCAUCAGCAACUCUGUUACAACACCUUGGGACCCAUUUAACCGUAAAGAAAUUGAAACCAACUAUGAACUUCCGAAUUUCUUUCAACUGGUGGCCCAUCAAGGUCAAGUCCUCCUUACUGCUGUUGAAACGGUUAACAAUACUUGCGCAAUCUGACUCAAUCGCCACGCACUUCCAGUUUUUGGAACAGGUGUAAUUGAUACUCACUUCCAUGACAUGCGUCUCCGCCCACUCAAUACUUGAAACAUUGUUAGACAUGCCCACACGCCCCCUAAGAAUGAAACCAUCUGUAUCCCUUUCCACCAGACCGUACAACCCCGUAUUCUCAUGGAUAGUAGCAUCGAAAUUAAUCUUGAUAACUCCUGACUCAGGUUUCUGCCAAUCCCUUUCCACAAUAGGCUUAGGUAUCAUCGGCCUGUCCAACAGAUUAAAGAUACGAAAGUCCCUAUUUAAAGCCGCAGCCCUGUCCCAUGUCACCUUGGCAUCCUCCUCUAUAUUACGAAAAACUUUGAUGUUUCUACUAUUCCAAAUAUUCCAGAUGGUAGAAAUAAAAUCCGACAUAGCCUUCUUGUCCAUCACGCGGGCAGCAUCCUCGAUCCAGUUCACGCGCCGGUCAUAAGUACCCUCGAACAGCUUUUGAUUUGACCCCCCAUAGCGCAGCACUGCCCUGGCACUAGGGCACUCUCUCAAAGCGUGAACAAGGGUUUCCCUCUCAACACCACAUCUCGGGCACAUACUGUUGAAAUCCCUCCGGAUUCGAGAGAUAUUCUCAUAAGUAGGUAGAAUGUCAUGCCCCAGGCGCCAGCAGAAAAGCUUAAUUUUUGGCAAGGUUUGCAGUUUCCAAGUAAGGUUCCAGAAAAAACAGUAGGGAUCGUAGCCCACAUUCUUCAAAGUCAUCCAGGAGUAAGCUGACUUGGUAGAGUAAAAACCCUGGGGAUUAUGAAACCAUAUACGUAAAUCAUCCGGGCCAUUAGGAAGAAAGGGAAUUUUACCAAUAUAGUCCCCCAUAUUCUCCCCAUAGAUCACCUUCACUCUACAUUCGUUCCAUCCAUAUUUGUUACUGUUCAAAAGAUCACACACCUUAUUCUCCUGAACCUCCCUUUUAUCGAUACGGAUGGAAUCACCGGAUAAGCCUUCGAAACCCCAGUUAUCCUUCCAAAUGUCAAUAUUGCAGCCAUUCCCCACCCUCCAUCCAAAGCCCUCCUGAAGCCAAGUGAUCGCCUUUUGGAUACUCCGCCAAGUAAAAAAGGGUUUGUCGACCCACUUUGAAUGAAAUACGUCGCCAUCUGGGAAGUACUUAGCCCUUAAAACUUUGUAACAAAGCGAGUCUUUACACCUCAUAAGCCGCCACACCUGUCUGCCUAAUAAAGCAACGUUAAAACGCCUAAGAUCUCUGAAGCCCAGUCCUCCCAUACCCUUCGGAAGGCACAUCCUUUCCCAGGCCAGCAUAUUCCACCCCCUAUUAUUAUCCUUACCCCCCCACCACACCCUCCGGAUCAAGGACUGAAUCUUAUUAAUGACACCGUCCGGGAUAAAGAAAACCGAGAAGGCAUAGGUCGGGAUCGACUGUAGAAUAAAGAUUUCCUUACCACCAUUAGAUAAGAGUCUCUUAGACCAGCUGUUAAUCCUAUUGGCGACACGAUCAAUAAUAUUCUGAAAGACCAUCGAUUUUUUCUUACCCACCGGGAUAGGCAGACCAAGAUAACCAUCAAAAUUAUCCACCAUCUUCAUUUUCAGCAAUCUGCUUAAGGUUUCGCGAUUCACGUUCGGGGUGUUAGGGCUGAAAUAGAUCAUCGACUUGUCUAAAUUGAUACUUUGGCCCGACCUCUUUUCGAAAGUUUCCAGAAUCUUCAUGACAGCCUUUGCUUUAUGCUUUGAAUUCCUAACAAAUAAUAAAGCAUCAUCAGCAAAGAAAAUAUGAUUAAUACUCGGGCCAUUCUUACUAGCCUUAAUGCCUUUAAUACUCUUAGUCUCUUGAGCAUGGGUUAACAUGCGAGACAAGGCAUCCAUGCAAAAAAGAAACAAGUACGGGAAAAGGGGAUCUCCUUGUCUAAGACCCCUUUUCGGGACAAUAAGCUCAGAGAGGGUCAUAUUGCAUUUAACUCUAUAUCGAAUAGUACAGACACAGUCCAUAAUAAUAUGCACCCACUCAUGAGCAAAACCCAUUUUCAGCAUCACAUUUUUAAGAAAGUCCCAAUCCACCCUGUCGUAGACUUUGCUCAUGUCGAGCUUAACCACACAACCUUGUUCGACCCUUUUUUAGAAUUGUAGAGGUUGUGAACCAAUUCAUGGGCCACUAAGACAUUAUCAUGGAUCAUCCGAUUAGGGACAAAAGCACUCUGGUACUGGCUAAUACAAAGGUGGAGGUUCUCUUUUAACCGGUUAGCCAGCACAUUUGCAAUAAUUUUGUAAACCACCCUACAGAGGCUAAUCGGACGAAAGUUAGACAUAUCACAAGGAUUCUUGAUUUUGGGGAUCAAAACAAUUAAGGUUUCAUUGAUACACUCGGCGCUUCUGUUGCCUUUAAGGAUAGAGUGACACAGGCUCAGCACGUUUUUCCCAACGGUAGACCAAUUUUCCUUGAAAAGCUGCCCAAAAGCCCGUCGAUACCAGGGGCCUUACGAGGGUCCAUUUGGUUGAAAGCCUUAAUGAUUUCACCUUCAGUGAAGUCGUCCAGCAGUCUCUUGUUAACGUCCUCGUCAAUACACCUAGGGAUCAAGUGCAUGUCACUAUCAUUCCCCUCAUAAGUCGGCGAUUUAAACAAAUUAUCAAAAUAAUUCUAAGCAAUCUGACAAAUCUCCUUCUUAUCCACGUGCCACACGCCCUGCUCAUCUUUAAUUCUGUCAAUUCUAUUCUUUGAUCUGCGACUCGACGCCCUUACAUGAAAGAAGCGGGUAUUCCCAUCCCCCUCCUUCAGCCACUGUGUCCGCGCCCUCAUGGCCCAAUAUUUCUCUUCCACCUCAUAGAGAUAGCCCAACUUACUUCUGGCUAUUUUCAGGAGACUCGUCGAUCUCUCACUAAUCUGGCCGUCCAUAAGAAUACUAAUUUCCUUCUCCAAUCCUUUGAUGUUGUUUUUUAACUUUCUGUACCGAUUAUACUGCCACGGGCCAAACUUGUCUUUUACCAGCUUCAUCUUGUCCACCGCAUUGCACCCCUCCGUUGACCACGCCUUAGAAAUAAUGUCCUUAGCUUCCUGCUCCUUUGCCCAGCAGAUGUCGUACCUAAACCAACCUCUAGAAACAUAACCCUUCUCCUUAGGCUUGUUGCCAUGCAGAUCCAAUAAGAUAGCCUCAUGGUCCGACUUAGACUGGCGCACAAUGCUCGAGGUAAUGUACGGCAUCUUCUCGAUGAUAGUAUCCGAAAUGAGAAAUCUAUCCAGCCUUUCCUUAAUAACCCCAGUACCCUCUCUAUUAUUAGUCCACGUAAACCACCCGUUAUUGGUUUUGACAUCACUCAGGUUUAACUCUUCCAUAAUACCCCAAAAGUUAUCCAUCACACUCAUAGGCUUUCUGCGGCCCCCUUCCUUUUCCGAAUUGUUAAGGAUAGCGUUGAAAUCCCCACCAACGAUCCAACCUUCGUUAACCUUUAUCUUAACCUUCUUUAACAUAUCCCAUGCAAGGUGCUGAAGAGUGGGGUUAGGGUGGCGAUAGAAACCAGUGAAACGAAUAACCUCGCCAUCGACCAGUUUAAUCAGCGAGUCUAUGUAGAACUUGGAGUAAGUCUGGAUUGUAACAUCAACACCCUCCCUCCACAUCAAAGCCAGACCACCGCUAUUUCCCUCAGAACUAACAGCAAGGCAACCACCCAUCCUACACCUAGACUGAAUACGAGAAAACUCGUUAGCAUGAAUUUUUGUUUCACAUAGAAAGAUAAUGUCGGGAACAUUCGCAACCAGGAGUUGCUUCAGCUCUCGAACUGUCGCUGGGUUCCCGACCCCGCGACAGUUCCAGCAAAAGAUUUUCAUUGCUCUUGGCGGGGCUGGUCACCAGCCGCCGCCUCUGAUGGUGAAAUAGGUCCAGCAAGCCUUCUUUUAACUUGUCUCGCUGGACUUUCAAUCCAAAAAUAACCCUGUAAACACUUUUGUCUCCUUCUCUUACUUUUCGACUUUCCAUUCCCCUCCUUAAGCUGUUUGUACUUUCUACUUUCCAUAGGGGAGGUAGAUAGAGAUUCCUCCUCAAGCACCCUUUCUCUUCCGUCCAUACUUGGUCUCCAGCUUUCAUUGCUUGAUCUAGUCAGACUUUCCUCCUUAUUUUCCUUCAAUUUUACCAUUGAUUUAAACUCUUCCACCCCAUUUCUUCUCAUUCCCUUAUCCUGAUUUGGGGUCACAAUGGGUGCCUUCAUCCAAUUUUCAAAUUGAAGAUUCGAGUUCAUCAUUCCGCCCUUCAUCGCAUUGUUCGUGCACACCUUCAACGUAUGCCCUAUGAUCCCACACGAGUGACAAAAAUCUAGAAGUCUUUCAUAUUUUAACAGACUUAUUCUUUCAUUGCCAUCUUUAUCAGCAAAUUUUACGAUUCUUCUCAGUGGUUUUGACACAUCAAUCUUGACUUUUAGUCUCAUGAAUUCUGUCCAACUCCCAAAUCUGUCCUUCCAAUCGAUUGCCACCAGCACACCAAUUGUAUUACCGACAUCCAAAGCUGUUUGACGGUCCAUGAGUUCUAUAGGGAUGUUGUAAAUUCUCACCCAGAAUGGUACAAAUUGGAAUUCAUAGGAUUCUAACUCCUUUCCUUUCUCGAAAGGAAGCAACGAGAAUAAACACCUGUCAAAAAGCCAUGGUGAGAGAUUUAAAAUACGGCUACGGUCCUCCUGACAUCCGAACUUCACAAUAAUCACCCCAUCUUUCAGAGCUACGAAGUCAACUUCCUCUUUUGUAAACCAAAGCGACUUAAGAACCCUGUACAUCGCCUCCCUGUUUGGUAGUUCGGUCGCCAUGAUCUUUCCCAUUGCCCAUGCCUUCCAGCUUUGAACCCUAUCCGCUACUCCUGUAUUAACAACCAAGGAAGAUUCUUCCUCCGAAAAAUUUAAUUUUCCUAACAGUUCUUUAAUUUCUUCCAUCAAUAAUACAAGAACGAACACUGGCUUUCCCUCCAAGACGUUCAGCCACAAAAGAUCCAAGAAAACACAAAAUAAGCAGGAAAACUACGAUAAUAAACUUUUCAUGCAUGACACACCAACGGCUCUACGUAAGUAAAAACUCAUUAAAAAGAGAAACUAGUGGACCCCGCACGGGCCCACAAAAAGAAAAGACGACCCUAAACAGUAAAAAAAAGGAAAAAAUGGGACACAGGACACAAGAAAACAACAAUCAAAAAGAAAAAAACAAAAAAAGAGAAAGUGGUUAAGACAAGAAAGCACCGCAAGAACACCCAGAAAAGCACCCGGAGAAAGAGGGAAAUCAGAAAGUGGUUAAGACAAGAAAGCACCGCAAGAACACCCAGAAAAGCACCCGGAGAAAGAGGGAAAUCAGGUCCGAGUAAGAGGCGUCAAAACACGUCACAAGACACCAGCACCCAAACAGCAACCCCCACUUGACACCAGGAGAAGCAGACGAAAUCACCCAGUCAAAGCAUCUCCCUCAGAAACCUCCUAACUGCCAUAAUAUUCAAGAGAAUAAGGCAGACGCUUGAAAUGUAAGAUAUAUAUCCAUACCAUAUAUNNNNNNNNNNNNNNNNNNNNNNNNNNNNNNNNNNNNNNNNNNNNNNNNNNNNNNNNNNNNNNNNNNNNNNNNNNNNNNNNNNNNNNNNNNNNNNNNNNNNUUUUAAGUAAUGUAAUAUAUUUAAGUAAUGUAAGUUAUAAAUUUUUGUAAGUAAUAUAUUUAAGUAAUGUAAUAUAUUUUAGUAAGUAAUGUAAUAUAUACUUUAAUCUUAGUAAGUCAUGUAUUUAAGUAAAUUCUAGUAAGUAAUGUAUUUAAGUAAUAUAUUUAAGUAAAUUUUAGUAAUUAAUAUAUUUAAGUAAUGUAAGUUAUAAAUUUUAAAAAUAUAUAUAUUAAUAAUUCAUUGACAUUCAUUGACAAUUCACUGACAGUCAAUCAAUUAAUCGAUCAAUUUGCCAAAUAAUCAUAGAUUAUUAAACAUUAACAUUCAAUCAAUUAAUCACAUCUAACGUCGAUAAUUUAUUCAUUGACAUAAAAUCGAAAAUUGAUAAUUUAUUCACAUUAAACCGAAUAAACUAAUCGCCCAUAAUUUAUUCAAUUACUCAAAUAUAAAAAGUGAUUUAAGAAUCAUAAUCUGAAUUUUAAUAAUUUGCGUAAUUUUUUUUCUUGGGUAAAUGAUACGUACAAAAAUAACAAGCAUAAUGUAAACCUCGCAAUUAUGUAAUAAGCUGCAAAGUUACACGCAAAUUGAGCUAGCAACAUAUAAAGCAAAUAUGAUAAUUAAAACCGAUACCCACAGCUUUAAAACCAAAAAUCUUAAUUAAAACUCCGUUUUAAAACUAAAAAAUAAUAAUUAAACGAUAAAGCUAAAAUAUAACCAAAUCCGAAAUUUAAACAUUUGGAGCUGUUUUUUUUAAGAAAACUAUCUAGGGAAACAUAGAAAUAAAUACCUCAAAUUUCCUCAACUUCGAAGCAACUUCUGCAAAAAAAAACACACACACACACAGACAAGUAAAUUAGUACCAACAAAACAGAAAAAAAAUAACAGAAGGAAACAAAAGAAUAUUUAACUAAAUUAAGAUUCAAAUCUAAAUUUGAAUUUUAAUUAUCACAACAAUCAGAACAAUACAUAAAGACCAAUGCAGAACAGGACUCAAUAUUUCUUCAGAAUUACCGUAUGAAAUAUUUCCAUAUCAAAUUCACUUCAUUAUUAAUACCAUACUGCAAUAUCAAAUAUUUAACAACUUUGAUUCAGAUGAAAUAUCUAAUAUCAAAUUCACAUCAAAGAACAUUUGACAGUAGCCUCAAUUUAGGAUCUAACCAACCAUUCUUUUACAAAUUAUGAACAGUUGACAGUAGCUAAGCUACUGUCUACAGCCUGUCUACAGUCAGAAUUUCGGCAAAUUGCAGCAUUGAGUCUCAUAACCAACAAGAUAUAAUUAGUUACAUUUAACUAAAUAUGAAAAAAAUCUAUUAUUAAAUAAUAUAUGUUGCUAUCGCAAAACAAGGUAGAAAACAGAACAGCUAUUUGCAUAUUCAUUCAGAAAAUCUAGCAAAAUAGACUAGAAAACAAAUCCCAAGAAUUAAUACAAGAUAAUAUUCUUCAAAUAUAUGAUUUUUUUUAAAAAGGCAUACACAUUCCAUUAUCUCCACAAUCGUGGAUCACCCAAAAUCCAAGUAAAAUAAAUAUUAAAAGGCUUUAACAAAUGUACUACAAUUCAUCAAGUUAUACACUUUGAACUCUUGGAGGGACCAAACUUACCUAAAUACGAGCUGAUCAAUAAGGGAGUAUGAGUAUGAAAAUAUGAAUUUCUAAACAUUUUUCAAAUACAUAAAACUUUAAAAAUAUAAAAAUACUCAAGCAUUCGAUCCUUACACUAGAAUCCAAGAAGCAUAGAUUAAAACCGGUGUUUAUUUUUUCCUUUCUAACAAAAUCCUAACCAAAUAACUCACAUUUAUAAUCAAACCCUAAAAAAGCUGGGCUUAAUAAAUCAUAAAAUAAAUAAAAUACCAAUAAAACAUAAAGCACAGCAAUCAUUUGCUCAUAAGAACAUAACUAAAAAUUUAAAGAAAAAGAAAAGCGAAAUAAACAAAAUGAAGGGAGAAACACGCUUCGAAGAUCUAAAAACGGAAGAGGUAGCGACGACGAGAGAAAAUACGAUGAAGAAAGAAGCUAAGACUCGUUGGACUUCUCUAAUAAGUAGAAAACAAACACAGAAGAUCGAUACUUUUUCCCAAACCCUAGACAUGCAGAAAUCCCCAAAUUCCCAAACAAACUGGUUCAAGCUUGGUGAUUGAACUUGGUAUUUAAACCCCAAAUUCCAAAAUUACACUGAAGCAAAACCCUAAAUCAAGAUACAGUGUUUCGAAAGAAAAAACGCUUACCUUUUAACAACAAAUUCCGCAGCUUUGAUAGUAUCCUAUGAAGAUUGACUAAACCUUUGCUUCGUUUGUGAUGAUUUCUGAGUUCUCCUCUCCCUUUUUUUUUUCUUUGUAUUUUUUCACGAUUUCUGGGGAAAAGUUGGGGGGGCCUUUUUUGGGGAGAAAAUACGUUUUUCGGCUAAGUGUUGGGAUGAAAUAUAGAAUGAACAAUUGCGGCGUUUGUAAUAUAGCGCCACUAAUGCCGUUAAUGUGGUAGAUAAACGACAGCGUUUUUUUAAAACUGGAAAGCAAAUUUGCGGCGUUUCCGCAUAGCGCCGCUAAAACAUACCUUUACUGGCGCUUUUACAAUUGCGCCGCAAAAGCCAGUAAAUUCCCGAACAAAAACUACAUCGUUUUGCCCAAACUAUUCAUAAUUUUUUGCGACGUUUAUGAAUAAAACGCCGCUAAUGCCCAUUUUUCUGGCGUUUUUUACAAAAACGCCACUAAAAAAUUAAAUUCUUCUACUGAAACGGCACCAUUUUUUAGAAAUUUUAAAACAUUGUUUUUUUUAAUUCAUAUUUAAAAAACACAAUAUAUAAUUACAAAUUGCGGCGUUUACGAAUAAAACGCCGCUAAUGCCGUUAAUAUGCCAUAGAAAACGACAACGUUUUGAUUAAACUACAGAGCAACUUUGCGGUGUUUUCUUCCUAGCGCCGCUAAUUCCCAACUUUAGUGGCGUUUUUGCCCUUGCGCCGCGAACGCCGUUAAAUUCCCAGCCAAAAACUACACCGUUUUUACCAAAUUAUUAAUAACUUUUUACGGCGUUUUUGCUCAAAAUGCCGCUAAAUCUCACAUCUUUUUAUUUUUUUCUUUCUUUCUUCUAUGUUUCAUUAGAAUUUUAAUUAAUUAAUUAUUAAAAUUUUAAGUAAUGUUUAAAAGUAUUUCAUAAAAUUAUAAAUUUUAGUUUUUUUAUUUCAUUUUUAUUUUUUUUUAUUUUUUCAUAUAUUUUGAUCCUAUCCAAAUUAAAUAAGUAAUUACUUAUAUAUAUAUCCAUAUAAAAAAUAUCGAAUUGUUAAUGUUAAAUAUUUUAAAUAUAAAUUUUAGUAAUUAAAUGUAUCAUUUAACAAGUCUAAAAUAAACCAAAACCCUAAUUUAACCAUUCGGCCGUAUACAUGCAUAUAUAAAAUAGAUCUCUCUCUCUCUCUUUAUAUAUAUAUAUAUAUAUAUACAUAUAUAUAUAUCUAAUUAAUUUAAUAAUAUAUAAACUAUAUAUACAUCUUUGAAAUAUAUCUUAAAUGAUCACUGAACCUCCACCAAUUGUAGGAUUCUUGACAUGUGCUAUCGGUGCCCUAGGAACAUUGCCAAAAUACCGAAAGGGGGCAUCUGCUAGCUUCCAACCCUCGAAAUCCCGUCGUUCAUCAAUAAAUAUUUUUAGAACGAUCAUUUCUACUAUAAAUUAGAAGGCUGAACCAGAUUUUGUAGAGUAGUGACAAAAAUUUGGAGAAACAAAAUCGGAUGGUCACUACUUAAUAUUAAAUUUAUUAUUAUAUAUUUUACAAACAUAUAAGAACAUAUUUAAUAUAUAAAUUAAUAAAACUAAUUAAUCUAAUCAACCAUGAUCCCUAACUUGAGUACCCUUGACACCCUAAACCCUAAAUCCCUAACCCCUAACCCUUAAAUCUCCUAGCCCCUAAAUUCCUAACCCCUAACCCCUAAAUUCCUAACCCUUAACCCCUAACCCCUAAAUCUCUAAUCCUUAACCCCUAAACCUUAUAUCCCAAACCCUAAUAGAGUACAUCAUUCAACUGAAACGACGCCGUUCUGACAGAGUUUCAAGAAUAUUAGCGGCGCUUCCCUAUAAAACGCCACAAUAGAAACUGAUUCCCUAACACGUAACGACGUCGUAUAUUGCAAUAUUUGUGGCGUUUUUGACUAAAACGCCGGUAAAGGCUACCUUUUGCGGCAUUUUUAUAUAGAAACGCCGCUAAAUUUCUCUUCUUUUUUUUGUGUCUUACAUUUAAAUAAUUAAUUACCUAUUUAUUUAACAAAUACAUAAUUACCUACUUAUUUGUUUAUUUAUUUAUACCAAGAUUAUUUUGGUCCUAUAUAUCCUAUAUAUACAAAUUAAAUAAUUAAUAACUAUAUAUAUAUCCAUAUAUAUCAAAAANNNNNNNNNNNNNNNNNNNNNNNNNNNNNNNNNNNNNNNNNNNNNNNNNNNNNNNNNNNNNNNNNNNNNNNNNNNNNNNNNNNNNNNNNNNNNNNNNNNNNNNNNNNNNNNNNNNNNNNNNNNNNNNNNNNNNNNNNNNNNNNNNNNNNNNNNNNNNNNNNNNNNNNNNNNNNNNNNNNNNNNNNNNNNNNNNNNNNNNNNNNNNNNNNNNNNNNNNNNNNNNNNNNNNNNNNNNNNNNNNNNNNNNNNNNNNNNNNNNNNNNNNNNNNNNNNNNNNNNNNNNNNNNNNNNNAGAAACCCUAUCAUGACCGUCUAAACCCUCCGACCAAACCCAAAAAAUUCCCUAAAUUAAUAUUCUUUAAUAAUCACAAAAUAUAGUGAAAAUCUAUUAAACAACAAGUUAUAUAUAGUUAAAAAUGUUGUACAAAGUUGAAAUAUGCUAGCAAUAUUAUCUUUAUGACAAAAAUUUUCGUAUGGAUCUAAAUAUAAGUUUUUAUCAUUUUUGAACUUAAAUAUCGAUAUUUUUGCAUCUGGUAUUGCUAUAGUCAUAUGUAUCAAAAAAAAUCACCGACGAUAGGGUUAAAUGUUUUUAAAUAUACAAGAUAAUUAAUUGUAUCAUUUAACAAGUCUCAAAUUAUAAAUUAACCAAUCAAUCGACAUGCAUAAAGUGAUCAUGAUCUACCUAUUAUAAUAGUCUAUAUAUUAAAUUUAUUCUGGAUCUAUUUUACAAAUAUAUAAGAACAUAUAUAUUAACCAUAAAAAUUAAUCAAAAACUAAUAUUAAUCUAAAUUAAACCCUAGCUAACAUGACCGUUGAAACCCUAAAUCCCAAACCUUAAAUCUAUACCCCGUACUCCUUAAAAUACCGUCCAUAAAAAAAUUCCCUAAAUCUUUAAUAUAUAUAAUCAUAAAAUAUAGUCAAAAUCGAUUAAACAAUAAUUAAUUGUUAAAAUAUAUUUUGUAUAAAUUGGUGUUUUAUAUUAAUUNNNNNNNNNNNNNNNNNNNNNNNNNNNNNNNNNNNNNNNNNNNNNNNNNNNNNNNNNNNNNNNNNNNNNNNNNNNNNNNNNNNNNNNNNNNNNNNNNNNNUUGAUUUAUUUAGUCGAACAGUACUACCAAAAUUUAUUACUCUUAUAAAAGUUAAUUCUAUUUUUAAUUUAUUCUUUACAAUACAAAAAUUUAAGUUUUAUUAUUAUAUUUUAUUCAUAAUUUAAUAUAUUUUCUCUCGUAAAGUAGUUUAAAUCAACUGUGAUUGAAAAUUAGUAAUAAAUAGUUAGCUGUUAUAUAUAUAUACGACUUCUCUUUAAUAAAAACUUUUUGUAUUAAUCAAUAUUAUUUGUUAAUUAUAAUUUAAAUGUAAAUUGUACCACUAUAUAAUAAAUAGAACAAAAUAUUAAUUAUUUCAACUUAUAAGAUUUUUGUUACUAUUAGUGGCGCUUCGGCAAAAACGCCGCUAAAGCUAAAUGCAUUAGUGGCGCUUAGAUAAAAACGCCGCUAAAGGCCAGAGAAUUAGCGGCACUCAGAUAAAAACGCCGCUAAAUAUCCGAGCAUUAGCGGCGCUUAGAUAAAAACGCCGCUAAUUCCUAUUUUUAGCGGCGCUUGGUGGAAAUCGCCGCUGAUGCUCUACCUUUAGCGGCGCUUUGGCUAAAUCGCCGCUAAUGCUCGAUUUUUUGUGGCGCUUUUGUUCCAAACGCCGCUAAAAGUGCCGCUAAAAGCCUAUUCUGGUGUAGUGCGUGUUGUUGUAUCCUAUGAGAUAGUCGAUCAACGUUUCUCCAAGUAUCGUAAGAACAGUCAAAUCUGUCUUUAGGAAACUAUGUAAAACAAGCCUCAACAUUUUAUAAAACUCGAUUCUUUAUUCGAUUUCUGAUUUUUCAUAAUCAUAUUUAUUUAAUUUAUUUUUCAUAUUUGGUAUUUUAAAUAUAAAUACUUAUUUUAUUUUAUAUAAAUAUUUAUUUAUAUUCAUAUUUUUUGACUAACUAUUUUGUUACAUUCAGUCACCACAACAUGUGAAUAUUUAUGUCUAAAUACAGUAAUGUUUUUAAUAAAAAGAGAUUGAGCAAAUCAACCGAUUGAUAUUUUAUUAAAACUUUUUUAUUCUUAUUGCAUGUUCUAUAAAGUCACAUUUUUCGCUUUUAGCUGUGAGUUGCAUCAGGUCUAUUAUUGUGUGACGUGUUAUUUCACAUGUUAUUUAUCAGUUAAUAAUACUUAUAAUAAAUUUCUUAACGGAUUUACAGAAUAUAGAUGAUUAGUUAUUAGGUUCGUUCGAAUAAUUACUUUAAAAAAAUAUGUCGUUAGUCCUCAUACUCUAUAGAAUUUAAAACUUAAUCCUGUUAAAAAUUUACUUAUCUUACUUUUUCAAUUAAAAAAUCCUAGUUCAAUCAUUUUUGUCGUUGAAAUCUAUUAGUAUAAUAUGUUUAUUUUUCGUCAAUCAUAUACCAUGUUGCUUAAAAGGCAACCUAAUCAAUAUAGCAAAUUAACAAAUUUUUUGGAAAAUAUUUACAAUUUUAAUGAUUGUCUUGGAAUUUUUAAAUAAAAAAUAUAUGAACUAAAACUUAAAUUUUAUCAAAGUAGAGGGACUACAUAUUUUAACCAAUAGAUAAUAUUCAUACCAAUUACAUUACAAGCAUAAGUGAUGAAAAUUUGAACAAAGCGAAACUAAUCCGAAAAGGAGUUAAGAUCCGCUCUUACUUUUUCAUUUAUUAAUAUUCAAUACAAUGAUCAUCGCCAUUUAAAUGUGUAAGACCCAUGUAGGACUCAUCUAUUAAAAAUAAAAAUCAACAUGUGAACGAUGAUUAAAUAUGCAUGGAUAUUAAUGGAUAAAAAAGUAAUAGAGUGGAGUCAAACCUUUCGAAUAGAACAAGACAAAAUCGACACAUAUUGAAAAUGGGACCCACAUAUCGCAAUUAUAAAUUGUACGACUUGAACUUGGACCUUCAAGGUUUGGAACCUUAACGUUUGCUAACUACGUUAAGGUCUCAUUGGUUAUAAUUGACAUUAUUUUUAUUUGCUCACUUUUAAAUAAUAGGUUUAUAAGUUUAAAAAAGCCCUUAAAAUGUAAAAAAAAAUAAUUAAUUAUUAAGCUCCUAUACUAAAUUCACACUCAAUUAAGCCCCUACCAUUAAUUAAAAUAAUCAAUUAAGCCCCUCCAUCAACGAUAUUGUCAUUGACCACGUUGACCGUUAAAAUAAAUUGAUAGACCAAUCGGAUGGUAACACGUAAUAGCUUCUAGUUUAAUCUAAUAUUUUCUCAUAAGAAUAUUAAAAAAUUAGAAUAAAAAUUAUAAAAAAUAAAAUUAUUAAUAUUAAAUUUAUAUAAACUUCUAAAAAUUAUAAAAAAUAUAUAAAAAUAAUAAAUUAUAAUAAAAUUAUAAAUUAUAAUAAAAUAAUAAAAUAUUUUUUAAAAAUAUUUAAAAUUUUAUAAAAAUUUUAAAAAUCAUAAAAAUUUGAAUUGGACCGGAUCAGUUUAUUGGACAGAUUAGACUGAAAUUGACAAAGAUAUCGGUACAGAGAAAGUUAUUAAACUGAUUAACUUAGGAAUUGGACAAUUGAAGCGAUUUUUUAUUUAUUUAAUGGAACCGGAUGGAUCUAUCGAGCUGAUAAAUUAGUGAUUUAAUCGAUUCGGCUAUUAGUCCGAUUUUAAAAACUUUAAUUAGAAUAUUUCAUUUUGAUAUAUAAUAAUGGUUAGAAAAAGAAAUUUUGAUACGAUAAUAAAAUUUUAAAAAAUCAUUAAAUUACCGAUCACCGACUUUAACAUAUGGGUGUUGACAUUUGACAUGUGGCCUAAUUUGGGGGGAAAAAAGUGAAUAAUUUUUGUUUGAUGUUUCAAAUAAUGAGUUUAUAAUACUUACCACCUCCCGAUGUUGAGUUCUCUUCCAAAUUGACAGCGAUUGAUGCGGCCAACUCAGACAGAACGACACAGUUUAAUAUCUGUGUGCUUUUCACGCGCUUUUAGGAGUGUGAGCAAAAAUAGAAAGAGUGAGAUUGGCAGAGAGAUGAUGAGUUUAAUUUGUCUAAUAUAUUUUUUGUUAUCUAACUAUAGUAUAAAUUCUAAAUUGGUCCUCAAAUUUUAAAAUAUUCUAAUUGAAUCCUUAAACUACAAUAGCAUAUCAAUUAUGUCUAUGUCAACCUAGAAAUUAGCUUAAAUGUUAUAUUUAAAAUAAUAGAUCAAUUUAUAAAAAGACAUAUUACAGUUUGAAUUCAUGUAUUUUAAAUCAAUUGACAUUUAUUGUCUAAAUCGACUGAAGGAUUUGGUUGAUAUAAUAUUAGUACUUUGAGUUAAUUGAGUCUUAGUUCAGUUGAUAUCGAUAUUAUUGUUAGUGUAGGAGGACAUGGGUUCGAGUAUGCUAAAGUUCAUUUAUCCUCUUAUUUAAGGAUUGGAUGGGAUUAUGAAUAGUUUUAGGUAUUGUAUAAAAAAUAUUAAUAUUUUGAGAUUUAUUUACAAUUGGAUCCAUGUAUCUUAAAUAUUCUUCACAUUAGAUCUAAACUAACAUUUAAUGUUUAAAUUAACGGCUAAGUUGACAAAAGUUUUUUUUUUGGGGGGGUUGAGAUAAAAAGCUUCGAUUCAUACAAUAUAUACUUUGAUAUAUGAGUGCAGAGAGGGAGGCAUGCAAAGCCCUAGCCCCUCUAAAAUGAAAAUUUAUUGAUUUAGUCCCCUAAAAUUUAUAAAAUCUUAAGUUAUAUUUUACCUCGUCCCAAAAUGCUAAUAUUUUGAUCUAGUUCUUUUGAAAACCAUAAAGAUAUAAGUUAAUAUAAGGAUAAAUUUGUAUUUUAGCUCUUAUAAAAAAUAUAACUUAAUCUCAGCCCCUAAAAAUAUAUAAGCUAAUAUUACGAUUGGGUCCACGUGUUUUAAAUAUUAUUCACAUCAAACUUGAACUAGUAUUUAGCAUCUAAAUUGACAAUUAAGUUAACAGAAGGACUAAUUUAAAGUCUAAUCAAUCCUUUAAGGACUUUUGAUUAAUUAAUCAUUUUUAGCUAAAGAAUUUUUACACAAUUACCCAUGAUGGAUUCUCGAUCGAUCUAAUGUAAAGUUUUAAUCUUUAACUUAUAUAUUCAACUAAAUUAAUAAUUUUUAAUAUAAAAAAUACAAACUUUAAAUGUAAACAAAUUAUAUAGACAUUUAAUAAAAUGUAGACACUUUUUAAGAAGCACUCCAUAUGAACAUAUAUGUGGUGUUGAAAAAAGGCACUGUUUCCACAUUUCCAGAUCCAAGUUCAUUCAGCCACCGACACACAAAGUUUCCUAAUCUCGAAGUCAAGUUUUUUUCUUUCUUCUUUAAAAUUUUCCUGGAAACUUAACCAUUCUCGGGAUUUCCCAAGAAAAGUUAAAGUCUCUCCUUCGUUAGUUUUAGUUUCCUUUUGGGGGAUCAUUUGGAUUCUGGGUAAGUGUAUCAAUGCUUUCUGAAUUUAAUUUUCAAGUAUUAAAAAUGGGUUUGCUUUAAAAAUGCAAGCUGUUGAUCUGUUUCAGAUUAUAAUCCACUUUUCGAUCCUGCAUUUUAUUCCUUUUCCACUACCAUUACUGCAAAAAAAAAAAAAGUUGCUGUUUUUUUCUUUUCUGUUUUUGUGCUUUAUUAAUAGUGAUCUUUGUAUUUUUGUUAGCUUAAGGUCUAAUAUUUACUUCUUCUUUUUUUUUUUUUUUGAAUUUUCUCUUUGGAUUGGAUUAGUGUAAUUGUUGUUAUUAUUAGUAUGCUGGGAAGUGAAAAGUUGAAUUGAAUAUCAAUGAUUUUAAGUUUUGUUCAUAAUAAACUACUACUUGAAUAUUUAGUUCAUGGGUUGAUCUGGAUUUUUCAUUGCAUAAACACUGUCGAUUUGAUUUUUUGCAUUAAUUUCUUUCAUAUGAUUCAUUUUCGGCUUUAUUGCAAACUUCUAGUUGAUGAAAUGUUGUGGUAUUAUUAAGUUGAAUUAUAUGAAUAUGUCGGAUUUUGAAGAAUUUCGAUGUUUUUCCGAUGUUUUGCCGACAGGUUAAAUCGAAAGGAAGUCCGACAUGUUCCGGCUUUCACCUGGUAGGAACCAAAGAUCGAAAGGAUUGAAGGUGAAGCAUGCUCUACAAAUAUGUGUUCUUGUUGGUAUUUGCAUUUGGCUGCUUUACCAAGUUAAGCACUCCGGGGAGAAGAAAGCGAUUUAUGAGAAAUCUGGGAGCGAUGUUGUCAAGUUGGGGCGAAAAGACUUCCCUCGAUCGGAAGGGAUGACUGUUACAGAUGCACGGCAUAAGGAGGAAGAAGAGGAAGAAAGUAAGAAUGGAGAAGAAGAUAAUAAGCCUGAGGUAACCGAAGAUGAAGGAAAUGGGGAAGUCGGUGGGAUGCAUGAGCAUGAUAAUGAGAAACCCGAGGAGGGAACCGAGCAUGAAGAACGUAGGAACGACGAUAACGAAGAGACUAUGGAAAAUGAAAACAAAGGAAAUGAGGAGACUCGUGAAGGCGAUAAUGAAGAGAAAGAGAACAUCGAGGAUAGUCGAGAAAAGGAAAAUAAAGGGAUUGGGGAAGAGAGCAAUGAGACGGAGAAGAGUGAAGGUGAGAUAGAGAAUGCAGGUAGCUCGGAUGAUCGGGUUCGUGAUGGAAUUGAUGGGAAUAAUGAAGAAGCGAGAGAAGAACAUUACAAGGGGGAUGAUGCUUCAAGUGAAGUAGUCCAUGACACCCAAAAUGAGACGAGUGGUUCAGAAAAUUCCAACGAGGCUGAGCAGUUGGAAAACAAAGAUAAGAAUGACCGGGAGGACGAAACAAAUAGCAGUGAAGCGGCCAAUGUCGGUCAUGAAGAGUCGAAUGUGCAAGAAAAUGGAACAGCUGAAAACAAUCAAGAAAGCAGUAAUGGGAGUAACGAAGCCAAGUCUAAAGAAGAUGCACAUCCCGAUACAGCUACGGAAUUGAAUGAGAAUCUGACAGAUACAACACACAGUUCAACCGAGAAUGUAAAUGGUAUGGUUCAGCUAUCUGAGAAAUCGGAUUCAGGUGGGAAUGACGAGCACUCGGAUUCAAAUACAACCCCUACUUCAACUGAGAAUGGGGAUGGAGCUAAUGGAGGUUCUACAAGUAAUUCGGAUUCCGGUGAAUCAAAUGGACAGACUGAAAAAUCGAAUGCCGGAUCAGACAGCAAUUCAAAUGCUGUUCAGAGUGAAGAAUCAAACAAUAAUUCUGGAGGAGAGGGGACACACACAAAUGAAAAUUCAAAUGCUGACCAGAACAGUGGAACAUCGUCGAACACUAAUGAUAAUGCUGGUGCAGGUCAGAAUGAGAAUGAUAGUAGCAAUUCGAACAAUGACGGGAAUGCGAAUGGGAAUGGUGGCAGCACAGACAAUCAGAGCAACACCAAUGGCAAUGUAAAUGCAAAUGAAGAUGUUACUCAAAAGGAAAACAACGAUUCAAGUUCAAAUGAAAAUGCCGCACAGAGCAACACCAGCAACAAAGAAAAUGCGGGUCAGGACGAGAAGAAUGCCACUCAGAGUAACACUGACAACAAUGAAAAUGUGGGUCAGAAUGAGAACAAUGCUGCUCAGAGCAACACUGAGAACAAUGAAAAUGCGGGUCAGAAUGAGAGCAAUGCUGCUCAGAGCAACACCGAGAACAAUGAAAAUGCGAGUCAGAACGAGAGCAAUGCAACUCAGAGCAACACCGAGAACAAUGAGAAUGCGGAUCAGAACGAGCACAAUGCUGCUCCAAGUAACACUGAGAACAAUGAGAAUGCGGGUCAGAACGAGAACAAUGCCACUCCAAGUAACACCGACAACAAUGAGAAUGCAGGUCAGAACGAGAACAAUGUGACUCAGAGCAACACUGACAACAGCAACAGCAACAACAACAACAACAACGAAAAUGCAAGUCAAAACGAGAACAAUGCUGCUCAGAGCAGUAACAACAAUGAAAAUGCAAGUCAGGAUGAGAACAAUGCAUCUCAGAGCUUCACCGACACCACCAACAACAAUGAAAAUACAAGUCAGGAUGAGAACAAUGCAUCUCAAAGCUUCACCGACACCACCAACAACAAUGAAAAUGCAAGUCAGAACGAAAACAAUGCUUCUCAGAGCUACACCGACACCACCACCAACGAGAGCAACGAUGCCAUUCAGACCAAUACCAACAGCAACGAAAACUCAAGUCCAAAUGAGAACAAUGCCGUUCAGUCCUCCAAUAACGAAAAUGCAGGUCAGAACGAGAACGAGAACAAUGCUACUCACAGCUUCAACGACAGCAACGGGAGCAGCAAUUACGACACAAGUACAGAUGGAAACACCCAGAAUAAUCCCGACACUUCUUCAACGAAUCAAGAAGUAAAAGAAGGUGAAACCGGUUUGGGAACUUUGCCAGGUACCACAACAAGUGAGGGAAAUAAAAGUGAGAAUGCAGCUGCAGAAUGAAAUUUAUAAUGGUUUGUGAUUUCAGUAUAUGAACUAAUUACUGUCACUAAAUUUUUGUUUUUCUUCUUUCCUGAUAUGGGAUCGGGAAACUGUAUGUUCCUGGUUACUUGUGCCUUUGUUGUCAUAUUAGUGCUGAAAAUUUUUAUAUUAUUUUGUACUUGUAGAUUUCUAGUUAUAAUAAUUGAAGUUCCCCAGUUUUCAUAUCUUUAUGAGGAUAUAUAUAAUAGGAAAGAAAAUCCUUUUUAGGUUUCUCUUCAAAUGUGUCUCUUGGUGCUUAAAUCAUCCUACAAAAAUAGAACUGCUUGACAUUUGGGAUAAUUACAUCAAAUAUUCUCAACUAGUCCUCAAAUUAUUAAUAUUGUAUUAAUCAGGUCUUUCUACUAGUUUAGCUAUCAAUGCACUUCGAAUUUGACGAAUUAUGGAUUCGAAUAUCCACAUGGAUCUUUUUUUUUUUCGGAUUCGGAUAAUAUUUGGAUUUUAUGAUUAUUAUCUAAUAGGAAUUUGAACUGGAUGUGGAUAGAUGUCUCGGAUAUUCGAUUAUCCAAAUCCGAUUACUUGUUUGGGUAAUGGAUGUAAAUUUAAAUUCAAACACCCAAACCUAGUGGUACAAAAUACUUAUAGUUUUGAUUUUAUAUAUCUAAAAAGAAUUUUACUGUAUUUGAAUUCGGAUUUUUGCAGAUUUGAAAAUUCGAAAAAUGGUUAGAAAUUUUGAAUUUCUUUUUCAAAUUUGAAAAAUGACAAUUUCAAUAAAUUUUAGGACAGUUAUUAUUGUUUUUAAAAAAAGUCAAAUAUAAGUUGUUUAUGCAAUAGGUACACUCUAGACAUAUAGUUUAAGUAGUAUUAAAUGUUCAAGCUAGACAAAAUGACCUAAUCGAUACAAUACAAAUACCUUUAAAAGGAUCCAAUUAAAACCUUUUAAAUUUUGAGGACCAAUGAUGGUAUUAGCCCUUUUUUUCUUUCAAAAUUCCAUGAAUUUAUUGCUUAAAUUGCAAGGACCAAUGGGGUUGGUGAAGCCUGAUGGUGCCUCAAUACCUUAUUAAUGGACAUCCCAACUCCUCCCAUGGUACUUGCUAUUUAUUUUGUUAGGUAAUUCAUAAUUAGUUGCUUUUGUUUUGCUUCAACAUGCAUAUUAUCAUUAAGAAAGACCUGUGGGGAUCUAUUUUUAUGAAAUGAAUUAGAUAAAGUACUAAUUGGUACAAUCAAUUAUAGCUGCAAUGUUUUCAUAUGGAAUUUUCUUUUCUUCCAAAGGACCUAAUCAUGAACAAUCAUUUUCAUUUUAAAAAAUACAACAUGGUGCACUCAUAUGGUAAAAAAAAAAAUUUUUUUGGAUAAUAUAAUUUUUGGCCCCUGAAUUUAGCAAUUAGGUCCACUUUGGUACUUGAACUUGGCAACUAGAUCCAUUUUGGUCUUUGAACUUAGAUCCUAUCAAGAUUUAAUGAUGUGACCAGUAUUACUGAAACAUGAUUAGAUUAGACUUGGAAUUGAUCGAUAUAAUGGUCCGAACAAAGGGUUAAAUCGAUCGACUCGAAAACAGCUUGAAACUGGUAAAAAUUGAAAACCGAAACAAAAAUCAAUAGUUGAAUAAGUUGAAUUGGAUUAAUAUUUUUUUAUGAUUUUUUAAUUAUUAUUUGUUUGGCAGUCGAAUUGGUUGAAUUGGGAAUCAAUGGUCUAGCCUGUUCAACCCGGACCAAUUAUUAAAAUAUUGAAUGUGACACUUUGAGAUUGUAUCACAUCACCACAUAAAAAUUUAUAUUAAUUUUUAAAUUUUCAAGUGAUGAUAUUGUGCUUAGUUGUAAAGUUCAAGUCUCAAAGUGGACAAAAAAUAUAGGUACCAAAAUAAAUAUUGUUGCCAAGUUCAGGGGUCAAAAUUAUAUUAUCCAUAUUUCUUUCAUUUGGUAGGUAAAAGGAUGCGUUGUCAUCUCAUCAAGAGCAUCUUUCGAAAAGAGAGAAAUAUUUUUAAGGUUAAUAUAUUAUUUGGUACCUAUAUUUAGCUUGAAUGUUUAAUUUUGUACUUGAGCUUUUAUGUCCCAAUUUGAUAUUUGAGUUUAACUUAAAUGUUCAAUUUAGAACCUAGGUCAUUUCAAAUUGAUACUUGAGUUUUUCUUUGUCCUAUUUAAGUACUUAAAUUUAACUUCAAUGUUCAAUUUUAUACUUGGGCAAAAGUACCAUUGAGACCCCUAUACUAAGAGUCGGAUAUCAUUUUGCCCCCUCUACUAAAAAAGAUGACAAAUUCAUCUUUGUACAUUAGAUUAAGAAGCAAAUUGGUCCUUUUGAUAAAAAUUCCAUCCAUUUCUACUAUUAAGUUAUAAUUGAUUAUUGUCUACUUGCUUGAAUUAGUCCCUCCACAUAAAAAGUUUCACCCAUUUCACAGUUUAUCAACCAUUCAUUUCUUCUAUUAAAAAUUUCAUCCGAUUUGCUUGAAUUUAUACCUCGAUGACAACAUGAGGUACACGUGGCACGCUAAGUGUCAUUAUUUGGUUGCUCCAUCAAGCAUGUUAGCACUUAACGGUAAAAGGGGAUAUUUUUUUUAAACAGAAAAUCAAUUUACUAUUUAAUCUAACGUAUAAGGAUUGAUUUGCCCAUUUUUCGAGUAUAUGAGUCAAAAUGCAAUUUGACUCAUAGUACAAAGGCCUCCAUGAUACUUUUACCUUUAUACUUAAGUUUUUCUUUUUCUCCCAAUUAAGUACCUAUGCUUUCUUUUCUUUUUUUUUGCUAGAGCACACAUGUCAAACAUUUAUUGGACCGUAUGGUGCUGUUCAGUUUGAGUGCCAAAUUGGAUAUUGAAGCCAAACUCAAAAACCAAAUUAGGACAAAAAAACUCGAAAGCCGAAUUAAACAUUGAAGCCAAAUAUAAAUACCAAAUGAUAUAUUAACCCAAACAUUUAUCUUAGGUCAAUUUUUAACACCAACAUCAAUUGAGUCAGAAUAAAAGAAGAUUAAUGUCUCUUAAAGUAAAAUCUAAAGUCUUUUAGUUUCUUUUUUUAAGUAAGUUUAUGAGUAUUUAAUUUUCUUUCUAUUGAACCCAUGUGAUGGCAUAAUAGUUAAGGGUGUUUACAACCCUAGGUGUAACGUAGGUUCGAAUCACACUAAUUACGUUCGUUAUUUAGGCUUUGCCCUAUUAUUGUAAUUUACAAAAAAAAAACUAUUUUUAUCUAAUUUUCAUAAAAUUAAUCCACAUGUUACGAUUUUAUUUGAGUAUCAAAUUGAAUAAUAAAACUAAACUUAAAUAUUAAAUUAAACAUUGAAACCAAAUUAAAUACAAAAUCACAUGUCAGCCUAGACUUCGUCUCAACAUAAACAAGACAAACUUCAUGGAUUUGGUGCACAUGGUAUUGAUCCAUAUUGAACAUUACCAGUCUUUUGGUCCCAACAAAAGCAUUUUGAUAUUCUAAAUUAAAUUUAAUACCUUAAACCAACUUUAAAUGAUUAUAUUUUUAUGUUCAUCGGUUUUAUAUUUUCAUAAUUACAUUUAAAUUUAAAUUAAGUUAGAAUAUAGAAUUAAUAAUUUCGCAUUUUCAUAUAGAUAUAUUGUAUAAUAUAUAUUUCGUUAAAAAUUUAAAAGCAAAAAAUAUAUGUAUAAUUAUUUUUAAAAAUACCCACUGAAAACUGAUAUCGGUAGGCAUCAAUACUAUAACAAAAACUAUAUAUGCCCAUACUAAUAUUUUGGCUGAAAAAGAAUAUAUCCUUCUUUGAGUAGUUCAUGCAAGCAUUCAAUAGAACCAUAUCCACAACAAACCAUUCAGUAAUCUUAUUAUUUCGAAACAGAGUAUGGUAGGCAGGCACAACCAUAUAGAAAACCUGAUGAACUUGCAAUUCAAAGUCCAGAAACCGGAAAUCGAGUGCUAAAAUUACAAAAGAUCCACAGAAUUAUCUGAUUGAUUUCUCAGAGAAAUGAUAAAAAUGCGCCGAACUCGGAAAGAUAUGCAUCUGUCUGGCCAUCCCUAGUGAUGCUCCUUUGUCUCAAACAGACCAUCCGGACCUGAAUAACAUGAUAAAUAAAACAAUGAAAAGAUUGAAUCGACCGAUUAGAUAAAUGAGUAACAAUAACCUUAAUAUAUGACCAUCCUUGAUUAAGCAUACAUCCACUUCCAAUAUUGGAAAAUUAGAAACUCCAAAUGAUAAUAUUAAAUUUUAUACCUAGAUUCCUUGAUCACUCAUGAACCUAUUUCUUUUAAAUAGGCUCAUCAUCAAUCACAACAAAAAAUGCUUGCUAGGUCAAGGGUGGCCAAGCCUACAACAGCGAGUAAAUAGCAAUGGCCUUGGUAUCAAACUUUACGAAUAAGAAAAUGGUGGUUUUUUUUAGUUCAUAUGCGAUUGUCAAACUCUCCUACCAGUAAUAACAGUUAUCUAGAAAAACAAAAAUAAAAAAGAAGGGCAUUCUUAGAUUAGUUUUUCAUUAAAAUCGCAAAACGAGACACAACCAAAACAUCAUGUUUAUAAGAUUCCUGGGUUAGAUAACAUAAUACAAUUAGAGACAAGCUAAACCCAAUAAUGUAACUGUAAAAAUGAUCAAAUGAAAAUGAGUUUAGACCAGGUCUUAGCAAUUUAUCUAGGAAUUAGGCAUGUGGAAACAUAAGCAAUGAAUGUAAGAUAGGCUGAAAGGAAACUUUUCACCUAGAAUUUAGUUUAGGACAAAAACUAGUGUUAUAGUUAGUAAUCUAACAUAACAUAGGAAGUAAAUACUGCGUUACUUGGCCUUGGGUGUGAAUGUCAGAUAUAGGUAUGUAUCCGACCUUUUCUAAGUUUUUCCAUAUAUUUGGAUGAUCAUUGAAGGUCAAAUCCCCAUAUCCAUGUGUCGGACACAGUUACUUCAGGAAAAAUGAAGAGUCUAAGUAACAUAGAGUAAAUAUCCAACAUGUAACAACAUUCAAAAUAUGACUGCAAAGAUUAGGUGAAAGAGAGGAAAAAGAUGGCCAUUUUUUUCCAUGGGUAGAAGAUGGAAAACUAAUGAUUACUAGUAACCAAAUUAAGUUAAAACAAGACAGACCAUAAUUGGUUGCCGAUAGCAUGUUGGAUGUUUCCAUAUUAAUUGAUGAGCAAAACAUCACUAUGAGUUGGCAACUUUUAAGUCUCCAUAUAAAUUACCUAAGCUAGUGUUUUGGAUGGUUGAAAAAGAAAUUGUUUUGAACAAAAUGAAUAGGAUUUAUUAGCUACUAACCAAAGCCAAUAAAAGUAAAUUUGGUUCUAGUUCUGCCUUAGAAUAUCUAAAAUUGUCUAGAAUUCUUUACAUUUCUCGACCUUUAAGCAAAUGGUGCAAAAUGAAAAGAAAAUCCAGCAAUGUUAUUAGUUAUAAUUUUCAUGGAAAGAUCCCAAAAGAGCCUAAACAGCAAAAUCUAAAUACCAAAAAGAAAAGAAACUCGAACUUAAAUAACUCAAAAAUCGGUAACAAUAAGAUUAACAUACCCCAUGGGAACUCCUUAUUGCGAAUGUGCAAAUAUGGGUAUGCCUGCAAACAUUCAAACAUCAUGACAGCACCCAAUGAUAAAAAUUAAUAACAAAAAUUUUUUUUCUUAAAAUAUAUAACUAAAAUUAAGCAUAAUAAAAGUAAGCUUACAGGAGGCUCUUCAUGGUGGGGAUGACCUUUUGAUAGAUUAUAAAUCGCUAAAACAGUGCAAGUAGCAACACCUAAAUAUGUUAUCUUUUCCCAUUUUGCCGUUUCAUCUGCAAAUAUAUAUAUAUAUAUAUAUAUAUAUAAUUCGUGUUAAAACAAUAUAUAUAUAUGAUUUUUCCAAGCCGUUUUAAGAUUUUCUUUUCCCUAAGAUCCAAAACUACGAUUCUUUUAAUAAUCUAAAUUUUAUUUUACUUACUCUAUUUCUAACAUAGACUCAAUUAAAAUCAAAAGGUUAAACUAGAUAAUAAAACCCUAAAGUAAAAAAAAUAGAACAACUCAAAAUAUAGGAAAUCAAUAUAUUAAUAAUAUAAAAUUGAUCCAAAUCAGAUAAAAUAUUAAAAAAAUAGAAGAAAGGUUGCAUACAAGCAUCAUCGUGAUGAGAAGAGGAAGCGAAGCCACGCUUGGGAGGAGCAGUAGGACGAGAGCCGCCGCGAAGGGCUGCUCGGAGGAGACCAGAUCGCACACUCGCCAUCGCCAUUUUUAUCGAUUUCUUUUUUCUCUACGACUUGAAACCCUUGUUUUCUUAUACGCGAUAUAUUUUAGUCAACAAUUAGAUUAGACCAAACGAGAAGGGUUUCGCACGUGCAAAGUGCGUGGCUUUUGCCCCUUUAUUUCUUGUUUUCUAAAAAAAAUUCUGAUAAUAUUGCAAAACAAAGGUGAUAUAUUUCAUAAAUAUAAAAAUAUAAUAUAAUGGUAAAAAUAUUGUGGAGACUUCUGUAUUAGGAGUCGGAUUUAAUUUUGUCUCUCUACUCAGCAAUUUGAUAAAUUAGUCUAUUUACGUUAGAUCAAAGAACAAAUCGGUCCUUUUGAUAAAAAAUUCAUUCAUUUCUAUAGUUAAAAAUUAGUCUCUGUACACUAGAGUUAUCCAUGGGCUGAAUCGGUCCACCCAAAAAAUCUAUUUCACUGUUUAAAAAUAAAUAAAAUAUUAAAAGCAUAUUUUUAUUUGAUAUUCUAUAUAUUUUAUAAUUAAAUUUAAAUUUAAAAAAAUUCAUUAUUUAAAUUGAAUUCGAGUCAGGUCGAAAAGCAAAAAUCCUUAUCCAAGCCUAGCCCAAGUUGGGUUGGGCCUAUAGGAGCGGGUAGCCUACCCGACCCUUGGACAGGACUACUAUACACUAGCAUAAGAUACACGUGACAAACCACAUGUAACUGUCUAAUUAUUCUAUCAGCUAUGCCAAUUUUUAACAGAAAAAAUGGAUGAAAAUUUUAAUAGAAAUGAUUAGUUUACUCUCUAAUCUAAUGCAUAUGGACUAGUUUACUAAUGUUUUAAGUAAAAAGAACAAAAUAUAAUCUGACUCCAAGUACAUAGGCUUCCAUAAUACUUUUACCAAAUAUAAUAUGCUUAAAUAUCUAUACUAUAUCUAAUUUGCCUAACUAAAUUGAUGUCAGGAAUCGAUUGACACCAUCUUAAUUAGAUAAAUUAUUUAAUUUAUUUUUAAUAAAAUAAUAAAUAUUAAUAUAAUGAUAUUUUUCUAAAUAUUGAACUUAGGUUAUGAUUUUUUUUUUCAUAAUUACCUUACCGCUUUGUUUACUAUUCAAUUAUUGAAGAAUCUUUUAUAAAUAUAUUUUUAAUAUUAACUUGUUAUAAAAUCAAGUGAUAAUAAUUAAAAUGUAUCAUAAUUUUAUUUCCAAUACACUUAAUAAUGAGAAACACAAAACACUAUAUGCAAAAAUGCAAAUAAAUAUCAUAAAAAAUAUAAUUAUUUAUCUUUUUUCUAAUUCUCAAUUGCGAUUUUUAAAAAAUAUAUAUGAUAGCAAGAUAAAUUUGUAUUUUAAUAUAUUUAUAUUUAGCUAAUUAUUAAAUAAAAUGCUAUUAAAUUUAGAUUUUUCUUAUCAAGAAUGAAGUUGAUAUGCUAAAUUUAAACUCUUAAAAAGGAAAGAGCUAAAUUGGAACAAAAAGCAAGGCUUGAUUGAAAGAUUGAAGAUUCAAAUAUAAUUGGAUAAGGGUUGAAGAUUUUUUUUAAGUGGCCGGAUGAAGAUUAAAAGAUUUUUUAUAUUGUUACAACUCUAUAAUUAGUUUAAAUUUGAUUUUUAAUUUUUGAAUUAUUUAGUGAUAAUUUUUAGAAUUAUUUAGUGAUAAUAUUUACAAAAAUUCUAGCUAAAUUUUAGCAUUAAAAGUGUGUAUAAAUACCUAGUGACUACAACCAAUUGACGUUUAAUAAAUUCUCUAUUUUUUUUUCCUCUCCUGCGUCUUUGCCAUUCAAUUUUGCAGUUUCAAUUGUUUUUUUUGUUUUGAUUUCAACCUUUUGGUUUAAUUUUCUUCUAAGGCCUUUCCCUUUUCUACUUUUCAAAAUUCCACUUAAACCAUUUAUUUUCAAGCAUGAUUUUUUCCAUGAUUAACUAAACCCUUUUUAGCUUUAGCCUGAAAAUUGCUCCAACAAAAUAAUCGUGAGAUACGAACCCACUCAAAAAAAUCUCUCAAUUCGGUAUUCGUUAUCUCUCCGGUAUAUGGGAUAGUAAAAAUUCAUCCCUCAAAAUUGAUUCAAUUUCAGCUCAAAAAACGUGCAUUAGGCUGCAAUCAUUUGACAUAGAAUUGGGAAGUUGAGUCGGCGGUGAUGUAUUCAAAAUCCCGCGAACAAAUUGGCGUGUUCAAUUGAAAAAAGCUAGUUGGAUUCUGUUAAGGGAGAUAGUGAUCGGAUUUAAACGACCCACAUGGUUGGGGCCGUUAAUUUGAGUUGGGCUUUUCAGAUCGUAAGGCUGUCGAAGUCUUAAAUUACGGGUACGUGCCACGUGGUUGGAAAUUCAACAAGGGUCGAUUUGCAGGUGAUACCGAGAUCGAAUACGAAAGAAAAAGUUGGCAGUUUGAGAGAUCCUUGAUUGUUAUAACAAGCUAAUCGCUUGGAAGGGAAAUUUUGUUUCAAGGAUCGAUUCAAGAUUGGAGUAUACUGAAGCUAAGACUAAGAUUAAAAAAUAUUUUAUUUAUCUAUUUAUUUUAUUUUCUUAAUUUUAUUUUUGCAUUUUCGAAUAUAUUUUAUUUUAUUUUUUGUAUUUCCUUAUUUUAUUAUCUUAAUUAAUAUAAAACCCCCAUUUUUAUUUUCUAGCGUUGCAACACACUAGUCGUGGACAUGACUAUUACUACAACAAUAAUUCUGGUUACAAAAAAGGCGAAAUUAGACAACCAGUCCCUAUAGAUUCGACCCUACUACUCUACAUUUCAAUUUAUUAUUAUUUUGUCGUAGAAAUUUAUAUUUGGUGAUUUUGACACCCAUCAAAUUUUGGCGCCAUUGCUAAAGAUUGGUGAAAAUUUCUAAUUUUUGUUUGUUUUAUUUAUAACCAGUUCAAAAUCGGGGACUCUAGCACUUGAGCUAGAGAUAGAAAAGUUGGCUCGAACACUUUGAAGAGAAGCUAUUCGGUGCGGUAAACAACCACAACCUGACUUUGAAGAAAGAUCUUACACCGGAGAUAUUUACUCAUCUGAAGAUUCAGACGAAAUAGCAAAUUAAACUAUACACCAACUUGUAGCUGUACCAGAUGAAUAACAACCGCUAUGCAUAACUUAUCCGGCAGGCGAAACAUUGUUCGAGUUAAAGUCGGGAUUAAUACAUUUAUUGCCUACUUUCUGCGGUUUGAAAAACGAGAACCUCCAUACUCAUUUGAAAGAGUUCCACAUGGUUAGUCUGAGCAUGAAACUAGAAAAGGUAACUAAAGAUCAAAUAAAACUACGAGCUUUUCCUUUUUCAUUAGCCCACUCCACUAGAGAGUGGCCUUUUUAUUUACCUUCAGGAUCUGUUAAUACUUGGACUGGUAUUUCUUGAUUAUUUCUUGACAGGUUUUUCCCAGUAGCUGGAGCAGCUGAAUUAAGGAGGAGUAUAGUCGGAAUACAACAAAAAGAAGCAAAGUCACUUAAUGAAUAUUGGGAGCAAUACAAUAAGUUGUGCGCAAGUUACCCACAACAUGGCUUGUCUAAACAGUCGCUCUUACAGUAUUUUUAUGAGGGGUUACUCUCAAUGAGAAUGAAGAUGAUUGAUGUCGCUAGUGGAGGGACUCUUGUGAACAUGACUCCCCAAAGAGUUAGGGAAUUAAUUUCGACCAUGGCUGCAAAUUCUCAAUAGUAUCGACCACUUAUGGAACCUACAAGAAGGGUUCAUGAGCUAAGUACUCCUUCAAUAGUAAAUAAGAUUGAUGAACUUACUAAUGUGAUUAGAAGUAUGCUUGUAGGAAAAUCGAACCCAACUCGGUUAUGCGGGAUUUGCGCUCAGCCUGAUCAUCUAACUAACUCGUGCCCAAUUUUACUUGAAGACACAACUACACAAGUAAAUGUCGUUGGGAACUUCCUAGGGCCACCUCAAAGGCGUUCUGAUCCAUAUUUAAGCAUGUACAAUGCAGGGUGGAGGAAUCAUCCAAACCUGAGCUAUAGGUCGAACCCUCAAUACAAUCAACAAUAUCAAUCAAGAAUACCCCCGUCUCAACAAUAUCAACCUCCAAAGUCAUCUCUUGAAGUUAUAGUAGAGAGGUGAGUCGUUGGCACUGAAAAGUUCCAACAAAAGGCUGAAGCACAUUUCUAAGAACUAGAUCAACAAAUAAGUAAGUUAGUACUUACGGUUAGUCAUUUGGAGAACCAAGGAAAAUUGCUAUCUCAAACCGAGCCAAACCCAUGUCAAAAUGCAAGUGUUGUGACCGUAAAAGAUGGGAAAGAGUCAAAACUAGUGCCUAGCACAAGUCGUGACCAUAAUGUUGAACAGGAAGUCAAACCAACAACUCUCACUGAGUCGGCACUUCUUAAACCAUUUGUUGUACCUCACCCAUACCCUGGAAAGCCGCCCAAGUUAAAAAGGAAUGAGAGAAAAAAGAAAUCCUUGAGACAUUCCGAAAGGUAGAAAUUAAUAUUCCUUUACUUGAUGCAAUUAAACAGAUUCCACGUUAUGCAAAAUUUUUGAAAGAACUGUGUACCGAAAAAAAGAAGUUGCAAGGAAAUGAAUGGAUGAAUAUGGGAGAAAAUGUUUCUGCGGUGUUACAAAGGAAAAUCCCACCUAAGUGUAAGGACCAAUGUAUGUUUUCUAUAUCCUGCAAAAUAGGUAAUAUUAGCAUAAUGAAAGCCAUGUGUGAUUUGGGAGCAUCUAUUAAUGUAAUGCAUUUAUCUAUUUUUAAAUUACUAAACACGGGUCAUUUGAAAGAAAUUGGGGUGAUUAUUCAAUUGGCAGAUAGGUCAUGCAUAUAUCUAGAAGGGGUGCUAAAAGAUGUCCUCGUAAAGGUAAAUGAACUAAUUUUUUCCUGCAAACUUUUAUAUCAUCGAUAUGGAGGACGACCACUCAAAAAAUGCUUCUGAUAUUUUACUUGGGAGACCAUUCCUAAGUACCGUGUGUACAAAUAUUGAUUUCGAAGUGGAACCCUCACUAUGGAAUUCGAUGGUGAGGUGGUAAAAUUUAAUGUUUAUGAGGCGAUGGCCAACCCAAUACAAUGUCGAACAUUUCUAGUGUUGAUAUUAUUGAACCACUAACGAAAUUUUAUUUUGAGUAUCAUGAAGGGGAUGGGUUGCAAAUUGUACUUUGCAAGAGUUUAGACCUUGAUACGAUGGAUAAAUUAGAGGAGUUAAUGACGUUCAAAGAACUGAUUCGUGAAACCGUUAUUCUAUUGGAGACUCCACAAUUUCCUAGAAGUCAAGGUAAAUAUUUUAAACUUUCUCCUUCUAAAACUAAAUUCUUGCAUUCUGUUUUGCAGGCUUUGGAAUUGGAACUCAAACCGUUACUUGAACAUUUAAAGAUUCUGAUAAAGGAAAAGGCAAACCCAAACAGAGAAGCUCAAAUACGCCUUAAUCCACCAAUAAUGGAGGAAUUCCAAGUGCACAUAAUGAAAUAAUUAAUUCUUAAGAAACCAAACGAAUAACUCUCAGGUCGUCGAGCUAACGCCGUUAAACAAAAGGGCAUUAUGGGAGGCAACCCACAUUUAUUUUUAUUUAAUUUAAUUUAAUUUAAUUUUGAAUUUUAGUUUAGUUUGAGAAUUAAAUAAAAUAUUAUUUUAAUCUGUUUGAUCGUGUUGUUUUCCAGGAGCAACCACCUUCAGCUGUAGACGAACGACUUCAUCGCAUUGAAGCUUGCUUCAAAAUAAUAAAAGCCAACAUCUCAAGCAUCCUCACCGUUCUACAAAGUGAUCACUUCCAUCGCUCUCCGGCCCAUUAAAUAUAAACGGGGAGUACACUUUCUCCAUUCAUAUUAUUCUUUUUACACAUUGGGGGCAAUAUGGGCUAAGUAGGGGGAAUUUUGAAUCAUGAUAAACUUUUUUUUUUGCAUGUGUUUUGUUAAGAAUAAAUUUUUUUAAUUCAUUUCAAAAAUAAAUAUCUAAUUCUUAUGUUCAGUUUACUUAAAUAAGUGGGUGAACCAUGAAUACUAUUGCUUGCUUGAUCAAUGAAUAUUUUGUAGAAUUGAAAAUGUUAUGCCUUAGUCGAUAUUUCAUGAAAAAUUAUUAGUUUUGUUGAACUUGCGUAAUGAAAGCACUAGAUUAAAUAAAUAAAUAAAUAAAUAGCUUGGUUAAGAGUGAAGAUUCAAAAAUGCGACCAAGUUGAGUAACUAGGAUGAGGUGCUUGGGUUGUCAUCUCAUUUCGCGUUAAAAGGUUUGGUAACGAGCCGAAGCUUGUAACACUCUACUAAUCAAGUUGCCUUGAGAAAUAAAUCGAUUAGGGGCACGUGAAACUGAGUAACCAGGAUGAGGAGUUUGAGUUGUCAUCUCAUUUUGCGUCAAAAGGUUUUAUUAUGUCUUGAAUUCGUUAAAAAAAUUAAAUAAAGAGAACAUGUUAGGUUGAGUAACCGGGGUGAGGUGUUUGGGUUGUCAUCUCACUUCGCGUCAAAAGACUUGAUUAAGUUUGAAAAAAAAUGUAUAUAGAUAUAAAUAAAAACAUAUAUUGAGUAUGACUGUUUUGCAUGUUUGAUUGAGCCUAAAUUUAGUGAAAUAGUUGAGUUUGACAUACUAUUUGAGAUUUUAUAAAAUGCUUAGUGAUUGAGUUUGUAACACCCCAAACCUGGCCUAGACGUUAUGGUCGGAUCUAGCGAUGUCACAUGAUAGGGUGUUUGAAAACUGUGUCGUCGCAUUAAAACCAUUCCCAUUGAGUUCCUUAUCUUAAUAUCUUAGUAGUUCCAAAAUUGUGUUGCUCAUUUAAUCGAUAGUUUCAAAACGUUAUUCGUUUGCGAAAACUUUUAAAACAGAUUAAACAAUCGUGCGUUUAGGAAAAACAUUUGUUUCUUUUAAAAAUCGAGGUUUCCUACUACUAGCAGUUGUAAUCCAUAAGGUAAAGAUAAUUAAAACCCAAAACCAAAGUCCGAAAGUCCAAUUACAACCCAAAAACUUAGCCAGUAAAAAUAGAAUAGAAAUAAAACUAAUUAUCGAAAAUAUGAGUUAAAAACCAUGAAAGUCCAAAACCGUGGUCAUCGCCGAGUCCUCCGUCGCACCGAUCCGUCUAGAUCUGGGGACUACCUGUGCACAUUUAAACAAAAGAGGUGAGUUUAUGAAAACUCAAUAUGUAAUCCCACAGAAAACAAACAAUAGCAAAUCGCAGUGCAUAGUUAAUGCAGUCCUGGGCCUAAGCCCUUUUUCAGUAUCAGUAACAGUUUGGGCCUUAGCCCAUCUCAGUACAGUAUCAAAUAUGCAGUAGGGCCUUAGCCCAUCACAGUAUCAGUAGCAGUCAUGCAGUAUUCAGUAACAAAGUCCUACCCAACCAGCCUCUACACACCAUCUCCGUCUAACCCUACACUCCAUGUGGGGAUCAAAUCAACCCACCCAUCCCUACACUCCAGGUAGUACCGAAUGCGGCACAAAACAAUAAUUUCCAGCUGAGCUGCCAGUAUCUUAGGCUUAAGAGUCUUUCAGUACACUUCCUCCAAAUAUAAUCAACGCAACCCCAUGCAAUGCAACAUACAAGUCAUGACAUGCUAUCUCAGGACAUCAGUACAUAUAACCAAUUCAGUAUACAAGCAUACUAUCAUCAUGCUUAACACAUAUAUAAAUCAAACAAUCAGUUCGUAUAAUUAAAGUUCUAAGUGAUGCUUACCGACCCUACAGUAGGUUCACAGUCGACUUGGGCGACCCGUGCAACCUUAGCAAUCAAUUCAGUGAUAAUGGGCUCACACGCCCAUGUGGUCUGCCCGUGUAGGCCCACACGCCCGUGUGGCCCACUCGGCCCAAAUUGGCCUUGUCCGCGUGGUCCAUUUUUAAUAUAACCCGUGCUAACUAAAUAUUCAUAUAUGUUUUCACUAUUUACUUAUAUGUUCCUUCAAAGCUAUCUACUUGAGUCACUGUUACUAAAUUAUUUAUAUCUUGAGCUACAGAAUUCCAAAUUAAGGUCUGCUUGAUGUCUUUGAAACUAGACUCAAAUAUCUUCAUACCAUAAAAUUUUCAGAAUUUUUGGUUCAGCCAAUAAGUAUAGUAAAAUCUUCAAUCUUACCCUUGUUCUGCUAUCUGACAGCUUCGACCUCUCUUUGCUAAAAAUUAAUUAUCUCUUAGUAAAAGAUUUUGAUGAUGUUACCAUUUGUUUCUAUAGAAAAUAGACUCAUUAAUAAUUUAAACAUGUAAAUUUUAACCCUUAAUUAUUUUUCUCCAAUUUUUUAUGAUUUUCUAAAGUCAGAACAGGGGAACCAUAAUUCAUUCUGUUCUUAUCUCACAGAACUUAUUAUAUCUCAUGAUUUACAAUUCCAUUACUUACACAAUUUCUUCUAUAAGAAACUAGACUCAAUAAGAUUUAAUUACAUAUUUUUUCAUCCUCUAAUUCGAUUUUCACAAUUUAUGGUGCUUUUUCAAAUUUAGCCUACUACUGCUGUCCAAACAGCAAGCAAUUUUAGUUUUUCGCCGAAUCCUAUUUUCUGCAUUCGGGGUACACACCUGGUUUUGUUUGAUGCUAAAACAGUCCCCGAGCACUACAAAACCUAUAAUUGAAAAAAUAACACUAAUUUAAUCUCACAUAACAUGAUCCCAAAUUGAACUCGUAUCGAGAUUUUAACCCAUAAGCGACUAAACCUUACCUUCAACCGAUGAACAGUAAUUCCCACACUAAAUAAGACUUUGAUUGGUGAUUACAAGCCUUUGAAUCCUCCCCUAAUUAGCAUAAAUAAAACACUUUAGAAGAAAGUUAACAAACAAAGAAAAAUCACUUAUCUAAAACUUACCGAAUGAUCGUAGAAAAACGUGGAGUGACAUGAGGCAGAGUGGGAAAAGAAAAAUCAAGAAGAUGAAGGGUGAAAGAGAGCAGAAAUUCGGCAACAAUGAAGAGAAAAACGGCCAAAGGGUGGAGGGAUUUUGGGGAAAGUGAAAAAAAAAAGAUAAACAAAAUAUUUGAUAACCACCCCAAUCCCUUAUUUCUCUCCAUCAAACUCCCUAGUAAAUCUAUUACUCUUUUGGACACACGAGCAAAAAUAAUGCCCAUGCCAAGAUUCAAACAUAGGACCUCCUUCACACCAACACUCCACUUAUCCACCAAACCAAGAGGCUUUCUCUAUUUAUUAUUUGCCAACUUUUACUUAAAAGCCUACUGACCAAAGAUAGAAAUUAUUCAUAAAAAUACCAAAAUUUGCCAAAGUCCUGGCUUGAACUUAACACCUCCCAAAUACACCAAGAACACAUAGCCACUAAAGCAGACAAAUAUUUUGUCACACAUUCACAAUACCCAAAAAUAAAAUUUUGGGGCGUUAGAAUGUUUAGCAAUUGUUUAUUUUUGAUUCACCUAAUUGUUUGAUGUGUGCUUGACUAGGAAAGGGGGUUUUGAUUUUGAAAGGGAUUGACAAAUUAUUUUUAGUGGAUAUCAUGCUUGAGGACAAGCAUCGGUUAAGUAGGGGGAAUUUGAUAGCAAGAUAAAUUCGUUUUUUAAUAUAUUUAUUUUUGGCUACUUGUCAAAUAAAAUGCUAUUAAAUUUAGAUUUUUCUUAUCAAGAAUGAAAUUGGUGUGUUGAAUUCAAACUCUUACAAAAAAGACUAAAUUGGAACAAAAAGCAAAGAGGAGGACUUGAUUGAAAGAUUGAAGAUCCAAAUAUGAUUGGAUAAAGAUUGAAGGGUUGAAGAUUUUUUUUAAGUGGCUGGAUAAAGAUUGAAAGAUUUUUUUGAUAUUGUUAUAACUCUGUAAUUAGUUUAAAUUCUAGUUUAAAUUUGAUUUUUAAUUUUUGAAUUAUUUAGCGAUAAUAUUUAGUGAUAAUAUUUAGGAAAAAUUUAGCUAAAUUUUAGCACUAAAAGUGUGUAUAAAUACCUAGUGGCUACAACCAAUUGAACACACUUUGCUUUGGUAUUUAAUAAAUUCUCUAUUUUUUUCCCUCUCCUGCGUCUUUGCCAUUCAAUUUUGCAGUUUCAAAUUUUUUUCUUUUGAUUUCAACCUUUUGGUUUAAUUGCCUUCUAAGGCCUUGCCCCUUUCUACUUUUCAAAAUUCCACUUAAACCAUUUAUUUUCAAGCAUGAUUUUUUCCAUGAUUAACUAAACCCUUUUUUUAGCUUUAGCCCAAAAAUUGCUCCAACAAAACAAUCAUGAGAUACGAACCCGCUCAAAAAAAUCUCUCAAUUCAGUUUUCGCUAUCUCUCUAGUAUAUGGGAUAGUAAAAAUUCGUCCCUCAAAGUUGAUUCAAUUUCAACUCAAAAAACGCGCGUUGGGUUGGAAUUGUUUGGCGUACAGUCGGGAAGUUGAGUCGGUGGUGUUGUAUUCAAAAUCCCGCAAACAAAUUGGUGUGUUCAAUUGGAAAAGGAUAGUUGAAUUUUGUCAAUGGAGAUAAUGAUCGGAUUUAAAACCCACACGGUUGAGGCCGUUAAUUCGAGUUGGGCUUUUCAGAUCGCAAGGCUAUCGAAGUCUUAAAUUACAGGUACGUGCCACGUGGUUGGAAAUUCGACAAGGGUCGAUUUGCAGGUGAUAAUUGGAUCGACUACGAAAGGAAAAGUUGGUGGUUUAAGGGAUUCUCGAUUGCUAUAAUCAGUUUAUCGCUUGGAAAGGAAAUUUUGUUUCAAUGAUCGAUUCAAGAUUGGAGUACACUGAGGUUAAGGCUAAUCUUAAAAAAUAUUUUAUUUAUCCAUUUAUUUUAUUUUCUUAAAUUUAUUUUUGUAUUUUCGAAUAUAUUUUUAUUUUAUUUUAUUUUUUGUAUUUCCUUAUUUUAUUAUCUUAAUCAAUUUAAAAUCCUUAUUUUUAUUUUCCAGCGUUGGAACGCACUAGUCGUGGACACGACUAUUACCGUGACAACAAUUCUGGUCACGAGAAAAGAUGAAAUUAGACAACGAGUUCUUGUGGAUUCGACCCUACUACUCUAUAUUUUAAUUUAUUGUUAUUUUAUCGUAAGAAUUUAUAUUUGGUGAUUUCGACGGCCAUCAAUAUAUAUUAAUAAUUAUAAAAGAAAAAAAAUUAAUAAUGACAUACUUAAAUGUACAAUACAUUCAAGCUUGAACAUGUAGUUGAGUUACCUGACAAAAAUAAUAACUUGUACGUAUCAAUGAGUUUAGAUUUUCCAUUCAAUUAAACUAGUACAAUUUUCACGCCUAGGGUUGACAGUUUAUUUGUGUUAAAUUAUGAUGUCUAAAUUUGAAAGCUAAAAUAUAUUUUAAUCCUACUUUUAUUUUCAGAAAUUUAGAUAAGACCUUUUAGAUUUAAAAAAAUUAGGUCCAAAUGUUACUAUUGUUAUAAUUCUUCUAUUAAAUUCACUAAUCUAAUAUUUUGAAAUUAAAAAAAAUCACUUGGUAAUCGUGUAAUAAUAUAAAAGUGUAACCGUUAAACUCCUUAUUAGAACCCAAAAAUCAAAAUUUAGUCCAUGUUAACAAUGAAGUUGGGAGUUCAAUUCUUAUCCAUGAGAAUGAAGUACAUUUCAUUACUUAUUUACUUCAUUGAAAAACACCCUAUAACAAGAAGAUUAAUCAUUGUUACAGACAAUAAAUACCUUAAUUUCAAUUAAAAAAAUCCAUAUUAUGAUAUUGUUGACUUCUUGUAUUUAAUGCACCAUUAGGGUCAAGCCUAGAGGUGCUCAUGGGCCGGGCCCAGGAAAAAAAUUUUGGCCCGGCCCGAAAUAUGGGCCUAGAAUUUUGCCCAGGCCCGGCCCGGGNNNNNNNNNNNNNNNNNNNNNNNNNNNNNNNNNNNNNNNNNNNNNNNNNNNNNNNNNNNNNNNNNNNNNNNNNNNNNNNNNNNNNNNNNNNNNNNNNNNNNNNNNNNNNNNNNNNNNNNNNNNNNNNNNNNNNNNNNNNNNNNNNNNNNNNNNNNNNNNNNNNNNNNNNNNNNNNNNNNNNNNNNNNNNNNNNNNNNNNNNNNNNNNNNNNNNNNNNNNNNNNNNNNNNNNNNNNNNNNNNNNNNNNNNNNNNNNNNNNNNNNNNNNNNNNNNNNNNNNNNNNNNNNNNNNNNNNNNNNNNNNNNNNNNNNNNNNNNNNNNNNNNNNNNNNNNNNNNNNNNNNNNNNNNNNNNNNNNNNNNNNNNNNNNNNNNNNNNNNNNNNNNNNNNNNNNNNNNNNNNNNNNNNNNNNNNNNNNNNNNNNNNNNNNNNNNNNNNNNNNNNNNNNNNNNNNNNNNNNNNNNNNNNNNNNNNNNNNNNNNNNNNNNNNNNNNNNNNNNNNNNNNNNNNNNNNNNNNNNNNNNNNNNNNNNNNNNNNNNNNNNNNNNNNNNNNNNNNNNNNNNNNNNNNNNNNNNNNNNNNNNNNNNNNNNNNNNNNNNNNNNNNNNNNNNNNNNNNNNNNNNNNNNNNNNNNNNNNNNNNNNNNNNNNNNNNNNNNNNNNNNNNNNNNNNNNNNNNNNNNNNNNNNNNNNNNNNNNNNNNNNNNNNNNNNNNNNNNNNNNNNNNNNNNNNNNNNNNNNNNNNNNNNNNNNNNNNNNNNNNNNNNNNNNNNNNNNNNNNNNNNNNNNNNNNNNNNNNNNNNNNNNNNNNNNNNNNNNNNNNNNNNNNNNNNNNNNNNNNNNNNNNNNNNNNNNNNNNNNNNNNNNNNNNNNNNNNNNNNNNNNNNNNNNNNNNNNNNNNNNNNNNNNNNNNNNNNNNNNNNNNNNNNNNNNNNNNNNNNNNNNNNNNNNNNNNNNNNNNNNNNNNNNNNNNNNNNNNNNNNNNNNNNNNNNNNNNNNNNNNNNNNNNNNNNNNNNUAUUUUGGCCCGGGCCCGGCCCGAAUAUAAUAAAUAUUUUUAUUAUUUUUUAUUUUUUUAAUUUUAAAAUACUUUUAAAAUACUUUUAUUAAAUUUUUUAAAUUUUAAAUUUUUUUUAAAAAUACUUUUUUAAUUUUUUUAAUUUUAAAAUAUUUUUAAAAUAAUUUUUUUAAUUUUUAUUUUAAUUUUUAAAAUAAAUUUUGGUAUUUAUUUAAAAAACGGGCCGGGCCCGGGCUUAUGAUUUUUUUCUCGGGCCGGGCCUGGGCAAAAUUCUAAGCCCAUAUUUCGGGCCGGGCUUGGCCCGGGCCAAAAUUUUUUUCUGGGCCUGGCCCGAACCCGGCCCGGCCCAUGAGCACCUCUAGUCAAGCCGCAGUAGUUGGGUCAGGUAUAGAAGAAAGGCCACGGAGACCAAGCCACCACUGCCGAUUCCCCCCUCGCCUUUACUCACAUAGUCACACUCAAACACUAAAUUAUGGAUUGACCUUGAAGCCUUCAUGGAAGGGGCCAAGUCCAUGGCACUUUGAUGACAAUGGUUUUUUUGUAAUGGAGCUCACAAGCCAUUGAAAAUGAAAGGGGUUGGGUUGUGUUUUUCUUAACGGCAUUAAAUUUAUUAGCUUCAUUCACACCAAACUCUUAGUUUACAAUUUGGAAUAGACUUGUACAUUGGUCAGGCUACUUACCUAGGCUCGAAGGCCUACUCAAUAUUUAAGAGAGUUUCAACAAAAAUGUUAGGCUCGAAAAAUGAAUUUGAAAAAAAAAUUAGGUCCGUUUAAAAUAUGAGUUUAAUUCAGACUUGAAUAUUCAAGACCCGAAUCCGACUCGACCCAUGAGUACCUGGGAAUAUGAAGAUUUUGAUUUUUACUCUGAAUUGUUCAAAUAUAUUUUGUUGAUAGGUUUAAUAGUGCCCCUGGUCAUUUUACUUUUUGAGCUUUUAAAAUUUAGUCUUUUUUUUUUACUUUUAAUUGCAAAAAUUCAGUCUCUCGACUUGUAUAAAUUAAAAUCUAAUUCAUAACACUGGAAAUGAACUUCCAUUAAAAUUGAAUGUGUAACAAUUUAAUAUUAGAAAGUUUUAUUUAAGAAUUAAAAUUAUAACACCCCAAAAAAAGAAUGAAUUAAAGUUUUAAUUGAUAAAAUAUAUACAAAAUUUCACAAAAAGUUAACCAAUACUUUAAUUUUUAAAUUAAGGAAAUAAAAGGACUAAAUUUCAAAAGUAUGAAGAAUACAUACCCGUAGCAUAAUUAUACCUUUAUUGAUACAACAUAUCACAACUAUAUAUUAACAUGUAAAAUACACGGAAUUAUGAAAGCGAAGUGGCUGGAUUGGGUUUUCCAACGGCUUUCAAUUUAUUGGCUUCAGUCAGCAUUCAGCUCAAAGUUCUUAGCUGGCAAGUAGAACUUUCUAUGAAUCACACUUUGAUUUUAUCUGUGAGCUGUAAUAAUUAUUAAAAUAUAUAUUUGACAUCGUUUUAGAUUUAUUUAUAGGUGUUUUUUUUACUGUAUUUAAAGAGUUAACUAUCACUUUUUUAUUGUCAAUUGAGUUUUAUCUUGAUUGAUAUAAGUAUUGUUGUUAAUGCAGGAAAUCGUGGAUUCGAGUGCGCAGAAGUACAUUAUCCUCCUAUUUAUGAGUUAGAGAUGGGCUAUGAGUAGUUCUAAACAUUGUGUCAAAAAAAAGUAGAUAUGAUCAUAAGAUUAUUAUAUAAAAAAAACUAUCAACAAGCGUAAAAUUGUCGGAAACUCAUUCUUUUUUUUUUGGUACAAAAAGAAGGAAACAAGAAAACUAAAUUCGAAUUACCCCCUCUCCACAAGCAUCGCUAUAGAAAGGGUUCAAGACUCGCCGACGGCGACUCAAGAUGAACCAGACCUCUCUCAAAGUUCUGAGCUAAAUUUGUCAAGUGGUCCACGCAACUAUUUCCUUCACGAUGAAUGUGUCAAACCUCAAUCACCCAUCCUUCAUUUAUCGAGUUAAGGCAAUCUUUAUCGAAAGUACCUAGCAGAUGAUUAUUCUCAAAAUGUUGUCGGAGGAAUUGUACCACUAGUAGCACAUCUAACUCCACCACGACCUGACGAAUUCCCAAGGAUUUUGCGAGACAAAAAUCGGCUCAAACCCCCAUACCUCUACCUGUAUAGGUUGUUUGUUAUCCCUAAUUCACCAUAAAUCCUCCAAUCCAAUAAGCCUCGCUAUCUCUGAUAAGACCUUCGAUUGAAGCUAAGCAUGAGCGAGAUUUUACAGUCCCAUCUGAGUUGAGAAUGUAACUUCCUUAAGGUGGUUUUGUCCAUUUAAUCCAAAAUGGUCUUCGAACUAACCUUGGCAUAACAACACUCAUGGCAACAAAGAUGUAUGUAGCAAACUUCUAAGCAUAUUGACACUCGCAAACCUAUUGACCAUCUCCUAUUCUCCAUUUGCAGCCAGAUUUGAUAACGGGUUACGUCCUUAAAAUCCCACGCCAAGUAGAAGAAGCAUUCGACUUUUGUUCCACCUCCAUGAAGGAUGCAGCUAGCAGAUAUUUCUUCCAGAAAACAUCGCACCACAAGGAAUUCUGCUUGUUAAAGAGACUCCAAGCAGCCUUUGAUAACAUGGCUAGAUUAUUUAGUAAAUAACAAGCAUUACUAUGAGGAUAUUUCUAUCAUUUUAUAUUUAACUCUAGAAAAAUCCACAUUAUGAUAUUUGAAACUAAAAUACCAUGGUGUUUAAUAUCUUAGGUUUACCAUUUCAACUAAAGUCUCAUUUAUUUGUUUUGUUAAGUUUUUAUAAAUAUAUUUGUUAUAAAAAAAAAUUAUACCCACAUUAUGAGUGUGUCGUAAUUAAUUUUUAUGACCGUAAAAUAUAUAUUAAAGAUACAUUAAUUUCACAUAAAAAUUAACUAUAUGAUGAGAUAAAGUUAAAAAAAAUUUAAAUUAUAAUAUAAAAAUUAAAGAAACAUGAUCGAAUAAUCAGAACUUAAUUCAAAAUAAAAUCUUAUUUAUAAUGUUAUUAAUCACAUUGAAACCCUCUAUCAUAACAAAAUUAGGAGGGGAUUUAAAACUAUUUCCUUCCCAUCACUUCCUUAUAAAUACUAUAACGUGUGACAAAAAAAAGAAGUUAAACCUAUCACACUAGAGGCAAAUAAGUUAAACUUAUCGCACUGAAGACAGAUAGGAACCUUAGCCUAUUGAUGUUUAAAUACACAGCUUGAAAUUAAAAAGGAACCAUUGACCAAAAUAUUAAACUAAAUUUAUAUUAGACCAUGAAUUAUUGACAAAAAUUUUUUUUAUUUACAAUAAAAAUGCUAGAUUUUUAUAUAUGUAUCACAUGUGAAAAAAAAAUAAUUUACAAAAAUAAUUAAAAUGUUUGUAUAAUGAAAGUAGUAUUGCAUUACACGUAUUGUGAGGUGAGGUCCAUUAUAGUUACAGUGUCUGCACUUUAAUCCACCGUUUGGUUCUGCAUUUCUGAUGAUCAUCAUGCCUCAUCAAUGCAACAGCUAUUGGGCGAUCGAAGUUCCAAAUACAGGCUUUCAUCACCGUCGAUAUCGUCAAGAUCAAGCGAGUACACGACAUCUUCCCUACUCCAACCCCCACGCAAUAACACAACCGACGAAACCCGCGUAUGCCACGCGGCGUCAUCUCCGUCGAUCAAGGGCCGGGUCCCAUUUUUUGGUUUAAUCUGUGAUUGAUCACAGCCGUCCAUCAUCAUCAUGUCCUUCACCUCCUCUUCUCUCCACCCUCCAUCUCUCAACCUCCAGAACACUUCCUCCAAACACCCGCCUAACCUGAACUCCUCCUCCUCCUUCCUCCACCACCACCCCGUCGUCACCCCACGCGCCACCACCCUCCUCCCUUUCUCCGCCACGUCCGUCCAAAACUCGAUCCUCCGAGCCGCUUUCGCCGCCCAAGCCGGCACUUUGUUAUCAACGCCAUUCCUUUUCUUCCUCUUGAAAGGCUUGAAAACCCCACCUCUCCUCAAAAACUCAACCUCUUGAAAAAACCUAUUAACAUCAAAGCUCAAUAUCCUAACCUCCUCACCGUCGACGUAAAAAACAGGGUUUCCCGCCAUGUUCGGCGUCGAAGGGAUAUAACAAUUCCGAUAUAUAGGAAUUAAAACAGGCGCUGUUAUAAACAAUCUUUUAACCAAACCCAAAGCUUCAUUGGGAUUCGAAGGUUUAGUGCCCCAAGACGGAGACCAAAAGUUAUGCAACGUAAUGUUCUUUGAUAAAGACAAUAAAGGAAGAUUGAGGAGAACGUUGAGUUGCUGAGGUGACGAUGAUCGCCAAUUUGGGAACGAAGGGUCGACGGGGAGACCUUCUUGAAGUAUAGAACGGAGGUCGGGUGGGAAAGUGAAGUGAAAAGCCGAUUCGAUGGAGGUGAAUUCGUGGUCGGUUAAACCAGGCAGGAUGGGGAUUUCGAGGGUUUGAAGAUGGUGGAUAAGGGUUUUGGAAUAUGCAGCGAAAGAGAAACAAGCGAGCUUUGAUCUUGGCGGUGGAGCUUUGAGUAAAGGGUUUGGACGGUGGGUUUGGGCUGUCGUUGCUGUUGCUGUUGCUGUUGCAGCCAUUGGAGAUUCAGCUGAAGAAAUUGAGAGCUUUUUUUUUCUGCAAUGGCAGCUGCCGGUAGGUUUAAAAGGAGAUUCAAGAUUGAUAAGUGGGAACCGAAAGAAGAAGAGAUUGAGGAAGAAAUAUGUAAGAGUAAUAGAUGGAGGAGAACGGGGAAGCUCACAUGGAAGCCUCUUCUUACGUUGACAAUGUCGUUUCUUCUGCUUAUAUGCAUUUAUACAGGGUUAAUUCCAUAAUACAUCCUUAAACUACAACCAAAAUUUUAUAUUGGUCCUCAAAUUUUAAAAACAUUUAAAUUGAGUUUCAAAGCAUAGUAUCUUAUUGAUGCUUAAAAUAUUUAAAACACGUAGAUUAAAUUAUAAAUAAGUGUAUACUUGCAUAAAUAACUUGGAUCUGACAUGUUAAAUAAAAAAGAAAUAGUGUUUUUAAAUUUUAUUGUCAUUGUCUGUUUUUUAACAUGUCAUUUUCAAGGUGUCUAUGUGAUAGAUACACGAAUGUUUACAAUUUGAUCUUUAUGUUUCAAAUAUACUCCAUAUCAUACCAAAACUAAUAUUUAACGUCUAAAUUGACAAAAUGACAUAUUUGAUAUAAUGUUGAUGCUUUAAGGAUUCAAUUAGAACAUAUGUAGACAGCUUAGACCUAACAUGUUAAGAAGAAGAAAUACUGCUCCUAAAUUUAUUUUUAUUGGCAUUGUCUUUGUUUUAGCGCGUCAAAUCCAGAUUAUCCAUAUAAUAAGUAUCCACAUAUUUACAAAUUGAUACGUAUGUUUUGAAUAUACUCCAAAUCAAACCAAAGCUAGUAUUUAACAUCUAAAUUGACAAAAGGUUAUGCUUGUUAUAAUAUUUGAUACUUUGAAGAUUCAAUCAGAACAUUUUGAAGUUUUAGGACCAAAUUAAAAUUUAGGCUAUAACUUGAGGAUGUUUAGUGAAAUUAACCCUAUAUACAGAAUAUAUGAAAUCACUAUCAUGUGCCUGCAAUAUAUUUGUUUGCAUCUGCUUCCUUGUUACUUACUUCAAUAAAAGGGUAAAGCCAAAGAGAAAAAUGGAAAUCCAAGGCUGGAAUUGUGAAGUUUCUCCAAAUCCAUUACCCUAUUCCUUCAUUUGGGAUAAUAUUUUUGGCACCUCCAUCAACAAUAAAAACUAAAAGAAGGCAUUUACACACUAUUUUGCUCAUCUUACUUCAACAAACCAAUGAGUCCAAAACAUUGUUUGUCAAUGAGAUGUAAAUUAAAUUAGAGUUUACAAGUAGAAUCACAAUUAUAAAUAAUAAGUGUUGGAUUAAUUAUAAUUAAAACUAAUUCAAUUAUUUUAUAAAAUAAUUGAGUCUUAGUUCGAUUGGUAUGGAUAUUAUUGUCAAUGUAGGAGUACGUGAGUUUAAGCUGAAGCGCAUUAUCCUUCUAUCUAUGGGUUGGGAAAGGGGUUAUAGGUAGUUUUAAGCAUUGAGUCAAAAAGUGUAAAUACGAUCAAAACCUAUAAUAGAAUUAUUAAGAAAAUAGACUUGAGUUUAGUUUUUUCAACCUCGACCCAACUCCUUUCAUUGUUCAAAAAUAAAAAAUAUAUAUAAUAAUUUUAUAUUAAUAUAUAUAUAUUUUAUAAUUAAAUUUAAAUAAAAAUAUUUUUAUUAUUUUCAAACAGUGGGUUAUUUAGGAACCAAAUUUAAAUCUGACUCAUCACCUUUAAACAUACUCAAAGCAUAAUUGGCAUAAACCACGACAUUUUAAGUCUAAUAAAUUUUUGUACAAUUGAAAUUACUUAUAUUAAUUAUUAAAAAUAAUAGUUCAGACAAAUAAAUGUUGGGUGUAAUGAUAAGACAUGUUGCAUUCGUUAAAAAAAAAUAUAAGUUUAAAUCUUGAAAACGAUAUUAUUGGAAGAAUCAAUCAUGAACCCUAAACAUAUAGACGAUAAAUAUAAAAAAAAAAUGAUUCACACCUAUCACAAAUUAACUACAAAAGAGGAGAGGCAAUUCCUAUUAGGGCAAGAAGAGGCCUUAGCUACCUUUAGUUACUUCAAAUUAUUUAAAAAAUAAUAAAAUUAUAUUUUUAUUCAAAAAAAAUUUAUAAUUUAAUUCUUUCCUUUCAAUAUAAUUUUUUUAAUUUACCCCUUUGAGUGUAGGCUUAACUAAUUUUCAACAAUAUUUGAACUCUAAUGAUCUAAAAAAAAUACCUUGUUAAAAUUAAUAUUGAUAAUGGUAAUACAGAACAGUUGUAAAGCAAUAAGAACAAAAAAAUAAAACAUACAGAUUUUACGUGAAAAUUCCUUUCGGGAAAAACCACGAGUAGAGGAGAAGAAAAUUCACUAAUGUUGAAAAUCGAAUGAUAUAAAAUGAGUUUUGACUGCAUCUAUUUAAAUGUUGAAAAACCCUAUUCUAAUCAAUGUCAAAUAUAAGAAGUAAAGUUCAGUACGGAUUCUACUUGUGCAACAUAGUCUGUACACAGAUCUUUUUAUUUUGCUACUAUAUUUUAUUUCUUUAAUAAGGAUUCGGAUCACCCAACUUUAACAAACAUAUUAGAUUAAAUUGCAAUGAUAAAGAGAAUUUAUUAAAAAAAAAGGAUAAAGAAUAGAAUCAAAAGAUUAAUGUGAAGCAUAUGAUUGAUUUUGAGACAGUGAAAUGGAAACCAGCUUAUUUAUGAUAGUUACUUAAAGCUAUAAGAAUUUUUAAAUGAUAUUUUUUAAUUUUCCAAUCUAAUUAUCAAGUAAAUUGACUAUGUUUACCCACAAAUGACACAAAUUUCUUCUUCAUCACCUAAAACAAAAUUUUAAUAGCCCACCUAUCCAUAAAGAAAGAGACCAGAAAUGGUCUCAUCACAACAUGACAUAUACUUUUCCAUUCAUUUUCAACAUCUAUUAAAGUGACCCAAUUAAAUAAUAUUGUAGGCAAAAUCAGUUUAAAAAGUUAAAUAAAAAAAGAGAGGAAGGCAAAGUUCAUCAAAAUCUUGAAUCUUUUCCCUUUGCUUUGAUUAUUAUGAUUCCCAAGGACCCACAGUUUUGUACUUAUAAUGUUUGAAGAGUGAAGACAAAAUUGGCUAUGGGAUUCUGGAAUUGAAGAAAAUAUUGCCACAUGGCAUGAAAUUUUUUAGGCUAAAUAUUUAAAAAUGGGGAUUGUUAAAGGAGGGGCUGAUAUUUAUACAUUUUGGUUGCACAACAUUGGAAUCCAAUGAUUUUUCCCUUCUUUAAACUUAUGUAGGAUUCGGUAAAAUGUAGCAUUCACUUUUGAAGGACUAAUGAAAAGGAAGUGGGUUUCAGCUCCUUUUAAGCGAGUUUAAAGAAUUUAGCGAAAUAAGUCAAUUUUAAAGACAGAAAAUAAGAAUGUGUCAUAUAGCAUGUAUUUUUCGACUUUUCUUUUUUAUACAUUAGUUUAUUUGGUCAGAUAGUUAAAUGUUAAUGGUUUUGUUCUUGAGUUUCGGGUUUGAUUCCUUUAAUUAGAUGGUUAAAUAAUAGUGAUUUUAUCCUUGAGUCCCAGGUUCAAAAUUUCUUCUAAGCAUAUUUGUAUUUUUUCUAUUUCAUGGUGUUUCAAGUUUUUUUUUAAUUUUUAAUUAAUUUUUUAAAUUAAUAAAUAUAUUAUUUUCAAGUUUUUUUUAUUUUUAAUUCAUCUUUUUAAUUAAUAACUCUUUUACUUAUACAAUCAAAUAAUUAUUGCAAAUUAUAUAAUAAAAAUAUAUUUUUUUUAUAAAAUUGAUAUUUAUUAUCAUAUUAAAUAUUUUUUAUUUUUUUAAAAACAUCAACUAAUAUUUUUUAUAUAUUUUUUUAUAUAUAAUAUUUAUAUGUCAAAUAUUUAUUUUAUCCACCUAUAUUAUAUUGUGGGUAUGGUGAUUUCUAAUAUUAUAAAAUCAAAUAAUUAUUUCAAAUGUCAUUCUUAUUUUUAUAUGUAAAAUAUUUCAAAUAUCAUUGUUUUUUCAUAUGCAUUGUGGGUGCGAUAUUUCAAAUAUUUUUAUAUGUGAAAUAUUUCAAUUAAUUAUUUAAAAUAUAAUUAUUUUUAUAUGUGAAAUAUUUUAAAUAUACAUACAAAAAUAUAUAAUACUAAAAUUUACUACAUUUAUGAUAUGGAUUGAAAAAUAAAUAUUACACAUAUAUAAAUUAUAUUUACUAAAAAUAAUGAUAUCUCGCAAUAAUUAUUUGAUUUUAUAAAUAAAAGAGUUAUUAAUUAAAAAUGAAUUAAAAUUAAUAGAACUUGAAAAUAAUAUAUUUAUUAAUUAAAAAUAAAAAAGAAGAAGCUUAAAACAACAUGGAAUAAAAAACUACAAAUGUGCUUGAAAAAGGAAUUGAACCUAUGACUCAAGAAUAAAAUCAAUAUUAUUUAAUCAUUUAACCAAAGGAGUGACAUAUUAGGCUAUUAUAUAUACAAAGCCAGUUAAGUGGCAUGUUCAAAGUUGAUAUGUACUUAGAAUCUUUCAAUUGGGGAUAAAUGUAAUAAGUUAGGGUAUCAAAUC
RNAcentral lists this long non-coding RNA (84610 nucleotides) under Gossypium raimondii (Peruvian cotton). Its description in RNAcentral is "long non-coding RNA (GRAI_LNC001788)". The stretch from base 25728 to 25810 matches the Rfam family "MIR8703 microRNA precursor family". The record is from RNAcentral. Lineage: Eukaryota; Viridiplantae; Streptophyta; Magnoliopsida; Malvales; Malvaceae.